AAAAAUACAAGUUGAUACAGCACAAUACAACAUGAGCAAUAUGAUUACAAGGAGUGGAUCGAAGUGGGCAAAUAGGAAGGUUGAUAUGUUAUACAAGUCCAGAGGGCAUUUCAUCGGCAAACUAUAAUGCAAUCGAUCAGACAUAUGUAUAUCAUAUAGUUAGUGGAAAACGAAAUCAGGUGAUACCCGAUCAAAACGCCAUAUAAAUGGUAGAGAAACAAAUCAUAGACAAAGAAUCUAUAUAGUCAACCUAGCCGCGCAAAUGCGGGCCACACCAUUAGUUAAUUAGUGAUACUACAUGUGUAGGCUAUAGAAAAGGUAGAAUCACCUAGGCAUCAGUUGAUAUUUGCUUCUUUUUGUUACCGGGAAUGCCUUGCACCUAUUGUACCCAUGAGGAAAGGAAUUGUCUGCAAGCUCAAUUAUCCUCUGAAACAAAGAAAAGGAAAGAGAGCGAGGACUAUCUAUUUGAUUUAGUACAACUUUGUACUAAAUCAACGACAACUAAUAUAAAAUAGAGGGGUACGAUGUAUCAUCCCAUAGUGGAUAAUUUUCGAAGUUGCAUGAGUGACGCGAUCAACUGCCUAAUGGUGCCUUGUGCAUGGAAUUUGCAAAGCUAAAGAAACACCCCAUGAUCACUGUGAUGAAAAGAACUCCAAACACAACGAGCGUGGAAAGCAGAAUGCCCGCGUAGGCUGACGAUGCCUUGGCCGCGCACACAAGGCUCACUGUCAAGGUAACCACUGGAACUUUUGUGUGUGUGUGUGUGUGUGUGUAAGCACGGUGCUCACCUGAUCUCCGGUUCUUGCGAAUUAAAGUUGGCCGCUAGGAAGAAUGGAAUGAGCGCAGGUCUGGCAUUGGCCAUCGGGUAACUCGUAAGAGGCACUCGGGUAGCCAGGCUGACUUGCCUGUGGAACCUCUCGGGUGCCCCGAGAGCUCGAUCGCCUCCCAGUAGGUCCACAGGCAAAUCAUCCUUGGCUACCGAAGAUGGCCGCUUACCUCCAUGCAAGAACUCACACAUGUGUCAUGUGAACUGCUUGGUGCACUCAGAAUGAACUGACUACCAAGGAUGGUGCCUGCAUGCCCUGCCCCUGGCCAUGUAUUUAUAAGAAGGCCGGGGAGGCAGAUCAGGGGCGACUUCGGUGAGGCCGCAUCAUGUUUGAUACAGGUGAGUAGAAUCUUGGCCUUUGACAAGGGCGAAAGGUGUCGAUCAACCAGAGCAAGUAACCACCACCGGACCACACACACUGCAUGCCGGACUGAAGAUCUAUCUCGUUUCCUUUCCGGAGAGCAUCCAGGGAUUUGGAUCUUGAUCACGUUUGUUCAGGUCGGUUCGGUUGACCAGUACGUGCGCGCGUGUGGUCUUUCCAGUUGGGUUCCACUCGCUUGACCUGCCGACAUGGAAUUCGUGCACGUGGAGCAGAAGAACAUUGCCGUCCGGAUCGGGCGGUGGUCAGAAUAAUAAGGUUAAGGGUAAAUGUUGUGGUGCUGGGUGGAAAAGGAUGUGGUGACGAAGAAGAGAUCGAGCCGGGAUUCGGACACUGGACCUGGUCGCCUCCUGCCUGGCUCCAUGCACGUCCCCGACUGGUCCAACGCCGGUGUUGGUGCGCAGCCUCCUGCCUGCAGUACGCAGAUAUUGGAGUGGUGCAACACAAAGCAUGCUCGGACCAGGAUGGAGACACAAUGCACACAAUUCUGAAGAUGCAGAAAAAGCACUUUGGGGAAAAUGGUGCUGCGGCCAUGGGAGGUCAUCGGCCAGGGUAAGCAGCGACAGAAUCCUUUCCGAGAAUCACAUCAAGGAGACCAACAAGAUGGGGGAAAACAUAAUGUCUAAUUAUUUUAUUUUAUUUUUUUUCAAAACUGAGGCAAAAGAUUUACCUCAUCGAUUAAUUAAAAAAAGAGAAUUGUCCGGUUAAUUAACGAAAAAUCAGACGAAAACCGAUACAUACAGAUCAAAUGCGGACUACUCGCUAAAAAAGAAACUCCAUGACCCCACAGUCAACCCGACAAACAUAUAUAACACGCAACAACCACGAACCCUAGCACUUCUAUGUCGCAAAGAAACCCUCAACAAAACGAGCCAACCGAAGAUGAAGGACAAAGAGAGUGAGUAUCCUCCAUUAAGCAAUCGCGGACGCCUUAUCAAUGGCACCACUCUUCUUGCCUAUACUCCUGACAGUCUUCUUCACCUUCUUUAUUUUGCCUGUAAAAACCUCAUCCACUAGGAGACAAGCAAUCACAUCGCGAGACCCAUGACAAACUGCAGCCAAGGAGGCGAGCAAGCGGCCAAGCUUUUUCACAAAGGUCGUCUCGUCAAUACGUGCCAACAUAGCGUCACGGUCAAAGGUGGGCAACCGAAUGAGCUUCAGCGCCUCAAAAUUAGCUGCCAAACCACCUAUCUCAUCAACCUCGGCACCCACAAACGCCACCUGGGCAACAACCUCAGGUGAGAGAGCAAUAGCAGCGUCCAAACCUUCACGGUCACAAAGGCGAGCGGCUGACUGGACUCCAACGACGACGGUAAGGUCGCAGUCAGCAUCGCCAAGUGUCGUCCAAGCGAUCCCAUCUCCUUAGGAAGCACCAUUGAAAUAGGUGAAGUGGGCUCCCCACAAAGCUUCUGUAGCUCAGGCAUAAUCUGCAGCACCGGAGUCACGACCUCGACAACGACUUCACGCCCAGAAGUAAUCGACAUGACAGGCAACGACAACCGACAUGAUCUAGCACGAGGGGAGAGAUCUCCAUACAUGCAUGCUUCCCCAUCGGCAGAAUCAACCAAGAUCUCGAACGACAGGGACACAUCGGAGGCAACCUCAAUCUGAAGCUCAGGCAGCGAAGACACAUCCGGCACCACCUCUAGUUUGGCGAGAGCGACCUCCGCCCUCACUAAAACACACCCGACUCGCGCAAGGCAAUCACGAAGCUCAGUGAGAAGCACCUUGGUCCCCUCCGCCAACCCGACUCGCUGAGCCGAGACAAACUGGAACUGUGCGUUUGUCAUGGAGACAUCACCGGUGGAUGCAGGCGGUGGAGCAUAACACUAGGGCGGCGAAGCUUGGUGGACAGGCUUCUUAGCACAGCAGAAGUGGGCGAUGUGACUAGAUCAAAGGCAGUUCAUACACCGGAUUGGAUCCUUGUAAGAGUGUGCAUAGUGACCUCAACAGAGGCAUCGGAAACACUCUCUCAGCCACGCCAGAGGAGGACGCCGCAUAUUGAUAGCUGGCGAUGAAAAGCAACGGGAGUCGAGCGUCGCCCCCUUGAGACAAGCUGCCAUCCCCCCAAUGCAUUCCAGCUUGGUGCUUGACACACAGGGGCUGUCGGCGACGCCUCACGGUCGAAACAUCCUCUCCAAUUUCACAAACCUAGACGCACCAGAGGCGCCUGCAUGACGUGCACAUCGCCCGCAACAAUAGCGUGGGCCAUCAGAGGGAGCUCCUCGAAGGCUGUUGUCUCCGGUAGCAACAACGGCCCGGCGCGGUAGGCGUCGGAGUUGCCAAGACCAGAUCAAAGCUCGCCAGCAUCUCGGUCGUGGCAAUGUCCAAAAAAUACAUUCACUCGGCGAACAAUAAAACAUGAUGAUUAUAUGAAAAUGUUUGCUUUCACCCCAUGCGUUUCCAUGCUGCCGCCUGCCUCCUCUCCCAUCUCUCUUUGCUUCCUCUAUGGCUUCGAUCUCGCCUGUUCUCGCCGUGGACGCAACGACAACACUAUACGAGGAUGAGCUUGGUGCUGCAACCAGGUUGCAAACUGCUACAAGUGGAUGAUGCAGGCAGUGUUUGAUGUUGCAAGACAACCACUGGUGUGCUUCUAUCAGCUGCAAAAGAGGACUGCUGUUGCGAGGGGCUAAGAGCAUUACUAGUAGAACCCUCAAACCCUCGAACCCUCUCUAGCGUUUUAAGGGUCCAAAAAUGAUCCUUUUGUGCACUUUUACGGAUUGAAAAACAGGGGCAAAGAUUAGAACCCUCAAACCCAACCCUUAUAACGGAAUAUUCCCCAUGAACGACGUUGUCGUUGCGCGCGGGAGGUCAACGGGGCGGCCGCCGGCGACUAGCAGCGGCGGUCACGGGCGUGGGCGGGGGAGUUAGGAGGAUUUUCCCUCCCGCGCGAGUAUAACCGCCAAAUAAGGGUUGGGGUAGGUUUUGCUCCCCAACCCUUACUUUUGAGGAUUGGGAGAGGGUUUGCGGGUUGGACCUUUAAAAAAAUUUGAGGGUUUGAGGAUUAAGGGGUUCUAGUCUACGGCUUUUUUUCGACGAAAACUGUAAAAAAGCAGUUAUUUUUAGGGAUUUGAGGGUUUGAGGGCUCUACUAGUAAUGCUCUAACAACCGACGCUGCUGUGAGGCCUUAAAACCUGAGGAGAGGAAGGUAGCUGCUGUAGCUUUUCAGAUUGAGGAUGAUGCUAGACUAAAGGCGGAAAAUGGCCGCAUGGUAAAGGAGGCUGCUGCAAAGGAAGCUUCGGUGUUGCAGUUGUGGAGUUCAAACGAGCAGCUGAGCUUGCGAGAGGAAGAAGAUUACAUAAGUUGCAUCAAACAGCUGCAAAGUCCGCUGUUUUUAGCAGUCCGCCAGCUCACAGCUGGCGCUGGCCAUGAUACAUCAACAUAAAUGGAUAAAUGAGGAUUUAGUAACUAGCAUAGAAAUAAAAACCCACCCAGAGAUGAUUUGGAAGCACAAAGGACCAAGAAACAACAUCUAAAAAACAAGUUGAAAUAUAGUAUAACUUCAAUAUUAAUCUGAAACUUAUGCCACAGAAAUAGAAAAUGAGGCCAUCCUAUGUGUCGUUCAAAAAAUGUAUAUUCACAUAGAAACACCAAAACCACCAGCAAUGUAGUGCUUUCUGGUCACAAAAACUAACAAAGUUAAGAUAUAGCAACUUUAAUCAAAUAUACCUAGACCAUUGUAAGAUAGAUAUUAACCGUGAUACAUUCCCAUGCGUAACCAUUGCAUAAGCAUGACUACACAAAGAGCACUGUAUCUGAAAGCAAUUGAAGCAUUCCUAGACUAUUAGAAGCCAUACAAUAAUGCGAAACACGACUCCCAGUGAUAGGCUGAUAGCACCAGGGGGCUCAUAGCUUACUUGUCAACUACUCACUCCAUUCACUAUUAUAAGAGAUGUUCUAUCUUUUAUCUGAACCAGAUGUAUAUACACAUUUUAGUGUUUUUGUUGAUUCAUCGACUCAUUCCAAUCCAUAUGCAGUCCAUAUUGAAAUACCUAAAUGGUCUUAUAAUGGUGAAAGAGGGAGUACCAGCUAAGACAGAAAUAUAACUCCCCACUGUGUUGGCCACUAUGGAAUCACAUGAAUCCUCUUACUGAACAAUCAAAUGUCAAACACACACUACAACAGGGCAAUGACAAAGGUGUAUUGAUUUGAUUUAAAUUGUGGUCCACAACUCAAAUCAAAUCAAUACACAAGAAACGGAUUCAAACAAUGGGUGACCAGGCAGAGCCCCAAAAUUGAAUUGUCAUAUGUACUCAUCUUCCAUCAUUUGAUUACUUAUAAAGAGCACAACACAAGCAAACCUUCCCAAACAGCUUCGCCUCCCCCUGAGGUCAUACAUAACCCCCAUCCCCCUCAAAUCGCCAUCACAACGAGGGCGCAUAAGAAAAUUGGACCUUGUUCAAACAAGUAUCAGCAGUAGCUACUAAAGAAACGUUUUAUAUGUAGCAAACCACAAACAUUAAACUACUUAUAUAAUGACAGGUAUCACCACUAAAAACAACUAAAUCAUCCAAAACCUAAUUGUAAAGAAAACAAAACAUACAGAAUACCUAACUAUGUGCAUAAAUAGUCAUGCACAAAGGAAAUACAAAUGGCGAAAAGGUCAUUGAUAAAUCAAGGUUUUGGUAGAACUACAAAGGGCAAUCUCCUACCAAGCAAAAGGAAAACAUCAAAGCUUAAAACCAUACUGAACAAGUAAAGCAACCACACAAGAGGCAAAUAAUUGUAGAACAUUGAAUCAACCUACAUAUCUGGUUUCAUAUGGAAGAUCCAAUUGUGCAGGAUACUAGGCAAGUCACCCAGGAAUUACACAUGCCUACAACAGGUAUUCUACACUAACCACAAUACAACUAUCCCCUACCAAGCAACCAGUUAACAAUUCUACAAACAAAUGAACAGCUUAAAGCCAAACCGCUACACGAGAAAUUCAUUCAAAAUGCAGGUAGGUAACCAUACUAGGGUACCGAAGGAUUUCAACUGGUCAGGCCAUUUCAACUCGGGCAAAAUACAGAGCUUAAGCAGGAUAAAAGCUGUUCCAUAAUCAGCAAAAUAUGAUGGUAUCCCAGGUAGGCUACAAGCAGUAAAUAAUAAUAUCUCUCAACACAAGCGAAAUCUUAAUCUUAAAACAGGCAUCCCGGAGUCACAUGCUAGCUUGCAAAAACAACGAGACGCCAUAAACCCUAGGUACCCUAGACCCUUCUCCCGUCGGCGGCAACGGGCGUCAUCAUCGUCAUCCCCGGCUUAGAAUCCGAGCUUGGUGCGGCGCCAGUGCCUGCGCUUGGCGUUGUACCUGAGACAGCAACGAAACAGCUUAGGGGCGCCGUCUCCUCUCCAUAGAUCCAUUACUAACCGGGGGAGGAGAUAAUGGCGGCGGAAGGUACCUGAUGGUGUUGUCGGUCCUCAUGCGGAUCCAGUAGGGGAUGGGGCGGUUCUGGCGCUGCUUCUUGGCCAGCUUCUGCUUGAUCCGGAAGGUCUUGUGCGACGGCUGCGGCGGAUUGGAGGCGACGGGUCAGCGGGGAUCCAUGGAGGAGGGAACACGGGGAGAGGAAUCGAAGCAGAUGGGAGAGAGAUUCGGGGGAGAGUGAACGGAGAUGCGUACCAUCGUGGCGGCGGAGACGGAGGCGGCUGCGGCGGCGGCGCGAGGAAACCCUUGGAUCGGAGGAAGGGGAAAUGGAGGCCGUGAGGGCUUAUAUAGUGGAGAGCAGUGCCGUAUGGGCCUAAUGGGCUCGGCUAGUUUCCUUGGACUGACUACUGCUGGUGGGCCUAUCUGUCAAACGUACAGAACUGGGCUUUCAUGGGCUCGUAACGUUAUGUCUGUGCUCUUUCCUUUGUGAAAACAGACAUCGAGACUGGGCUUUAAUGGGCUCAUGAUGUUACGUCUCUGAUUCCCUCCUCCGUUCUCACAAUAACGACUUCCUUUGUCUCAAAAAAAAAUUAACGAUUUCCUCCUGAUUCAAGAAAAAAACUACAAGAACUUUUCUGUUUCCGAGUUCCAAAUACAUGCACUCACACAUGUGUUACAGAGCAGUUUCACGCAUUUAAGUGUUAAUUUUAAAAAUCUGUGUUAGCAUAAAAAUAGUUUGAUAUGCAACACGUUUGUACUAAUAUACUUAUAAGGUUGGAUUUUACAAUGUACUUCCUCCGUCUCAUAAUAUAAGAUCUUAUUACAUAAGAUAUAUAUACUAAAUGCAGAGUCUCUUGGAUGUCAGUGUAGUAAAACGAGGAGAGUCUAAAGGGAACCAACCCUUCACCUAAUGAAUUGUCAAGAAUUGGAAAGUAAAGGGUUCUAAAAAAAUCUGAGAGGAGCUCCCAAAAAACUCCCCUCUUCUCCCUACGUAUUUUCUACUAAAAACCCUACCUGUUGGGGUAAGUAGAUUCUUCCCAAUCCACUUGCCAAACCCAUAAAAAGAGGAGAGGGGGGGGGGGCAAUCCUUAUAACCGCUCCAUCCCCACCGCCGACCGGUCGUGAUCCGCGUCGGUCCGGUCCUGCCUCACCUCCCGCAUUCUCAGCUGCUCGCCGUCGCACACGACCGCUCCCAGCCACACCUCUUGUCCCACCUUGCCGGUAGUUGCUACACAGUUUCCCUAGCCACACCUUGCGCCGGUAUCCCUACCCCUUCGCUUCACGAAGGCGACACCCACGGGGCAGCAAUGGCCUUCAGCCUCGGCACUGAGGCAACUCCAAGUGGCGGCUCUCAGUCCCGCCACCGCUCGCCGAGGUGCGGAUCCUGACGAGGAGGAGUCGAGCUGGUGGUAGUCGGCCGAUAGCAGCCAUAAACACGGCUUUGUGCCCCAUUUUAAUAAAAAUGGGGCGGGGGGAAACCUCUUUCGAUCAAAAUAAUAAUUAUUCUGCACAUUUGGGUGACUUUCAACGACUGCACUUGCUAUUGUGUGUAGAAAAAUACAGAGAGCUGAUGUAUUGUGGAUGGGCUACUUCCUACCCUCCCAAAUCCACUGCCAUGAAUUUUUUGAGAGGCAAGCUUAGGAAGGUGGUUCAGAGAGAUGCUGAACUAGAGAUGGUUCAGAGAGAUGCUCCUAAGUUGUAUGGAAAGAACUAGAGAUGCUCUUAAUAACGUGUAUUUUUGUAGACAGUGUGGUUAUCAGCAGUCAAUGGUCAAAGCUAGCGAAUAAGCCCAAAGAUCACAAACUUUCUUGUCGCCAUGCGUGAGUCACCAGCAUCACGUCUCCUGUGCAACAGACAACAUGAGGAGGGGCACCAAUCAGAGAGCCCAGACACGAGAGAUCAGCUAUAUCACGUCUCCUGUUCGGAAAUACUUGUCAUCAAAAUGGAUGAAAAUGAAUGUAUCUAAAACUAAAAUACAUCUAGAUACAUCAAUUUCAAUGACAAGUAUUUUUGGACGGAGGGAGUACACUCUACCAGUCUCGCUGAUCAGGAUGCAUGCAUGCAUGGCAAUCGAGCUCCUCUGGAAUCUUAUUGGCCACCAUACCAUUGUCUUACCAGUAUGGGCGUUGAUCAUGGCCACAUGGGCGUUCUAGAUGCUGUCUUGCUAGCUAAUCAUAGGAAACGGCUUAAGAAACUAGCGAUGUUCCAGGGAAGUUCAUGUGCGGACUCGAGGCUGAUCGACACCUGGAAAUGCCCUUGUCUGCAUUGCACGACCGAACCCGACCGGUCCACCUGCGAAAAUAGGUCAAAAUUGUUUUCUUACGAUCGGUUGAUUGAUUGAUUGAUUUGUUCUAGCAAUUAAGCAGGGCUAAGACACCAUCAAAGAUCUCGAUUUGUAUUAUGAUGAUCCUGAGUAUAUAUGGUACUGGUUAUACGAUCUUAUAUAUUCUUCAGAAAUCAAGUAGCUUAAGUUCAUGGUCCUAUACAGAAAAGAAAGAUGCUUAGAUUACAAUCUUUUUCUCUCGAGAAAACUGGAUCGAUCGAACCUUGAUUAAAAUCAUGUUCCCAACAACCAUGAAACAAACACAUGUACUGCAUAUCACCUAACAUCAUGCAUGCCCACUUGCCACUUGGAGGGGAACAUUGCACUACUUGCAUCAGGAUUUGCACUGCACAUAUACGAUGCUGUGUGCCGACAAGUUGCGUGGCUCGAGGGAGUUUGAUUAAUCUGGCCACGCAUCUGGUCUGAGCUAGUUGCUGAUCAUCGUACCAUCAAAUGGGGCAUCAGAUCGCCAUGUCCCGAUCGCAGGAUCCAUGCAUGAAACGCGGAUCACAAGUGUUAUAAGCAAUGGCGAACCACAUGCAAUUGCAUGAUUAACUUUGAACACCUGGUUUCAGCCGAGCAAGGCAGAGAAACAAAAGUAUCAUUAGUUGGAUGAUCAAGCUGAUUAAACUAAGUUGUAUAUUUGUCUAUAUCUCUUCAUUUAGGCAAACGAGAGUAUUCUUCUACAGUUUUGCCAGGUCUCAGUCCAUCAAGAUGUUUUUAUGUCUCAAUCGAUUAAAAAAAAGUACUCUACACUCGCAACUAGGUCCAUGAUUAAUUGCAGAGAAACAAAAGUAUGAUUAAUUGCAUUUUUCUAAACCGUCCGAGACUUAGAAAAUCUCGGUCCAUGUCCAUCGAAAAAUAGAUGAGCCCCCAUUUUUAAGACACACGCCUCGGCUAACUAGUAAAAAUAAGUUGUAAUAUGCAUUCCUGCAAAGAUACUUCUUUGUCGGACAUAUAAGAACCAAACGGCCCCUACUUGGUAGGGGCCUUUUGGGAGGCACAUGAGACCCUUAAGAGUGAUUGAACCGUCUUUUUCUCGAUGAGUUNNNNNNNNNNNNNNNNNNNNNNNNNNNNNNNNNNNNNNNNNNNNNNNNNNNNNNNNNNNNNNNNNNNNNNNNNNNNNNNNNNNNNNNNNNNNNNNNNNNNNNNNNNNNNNNNNNNNNNNNNNNNNNNNNNNNNNNNNNNNNNNNNNNNNNNNNNNNNNNNNNNNNNNNNNNNNNNNNNNNNNNNNNNNNNNNNNNNNNNNNNNNNNNNNNNNNNNNNNNNNNNNNNNNNNNNNNNNNNNNNNNNNNNNNNNNNNNNNNNNNNNNNNNNNNNNNNNNNNNNNNNNNNNNNNNNNNNNNNNNNNNNNNNNNNNNNNNNNNNNNNNNNNNNNNNNNNNNNNNNNNNNNNNNNNNNNNNNNNNNNNNNNAAAUCCAUCCAUUAUCAUACCUCUUGAUAUCAACAAAAACCAAGACAUAAUAUGGUGGGAUAAUAUGAAGAUCAAUUUAGAUACCUGGGAAUACCAAUUCAUCAUAGUAGAUUAACCAAAAAAUAAUGAAGAUGCAUCGAAGAUCGAUUUGAGAAGAAAUUAAGCUGUUGGAAGGGCAAGCUUAUGUUCUAUGGGGUCGGUUAAUUCUUAUAAAUUUUGUGUUAACGAGUAUGCCGAUGUUCCUACCAUCCUUCUUUGAAAUACCCGUGGGGGUACCGAAAAUGUUGGAUCUUUACCGAUUUCACUUUUUUGUCAAAUAGAUGAAAACAAAAAGAAGUGCGGACUAGCCAAAUGGGACAUAUGUAGACCGAAAACCAACGAGGUUUAGGUAUCGAAAAUCUUGAGAUGAAAAAUAGAUGCUUACUCAGUAAAUAAUUAAUAGAUUAUCGGUUAAGGGGGAUGGUGUGUGUACAGUUGUUGCGUAACAAGUAUUUACAAUUCAAACGCACAAGUCACUGCUCAGCGGACCGAUUCUCCUUUUUGAAAGGAGACGAUGAGGACAAUAGCAACCUUCUUUAACAGAAGUAAAUUCAUAGGUGGGAAUGAAAUAAUACUAGAUUUUGGGAAGAUACCUUUUUCUGAAAAAAGGAGGGUAGACCUUCGGACACUGCAUCUGGACGAUGCAUGCGACCAUCUUAUUAAUUAUUUAUAGAGGCCAUACAAAGUAAUACAUCAGCCAGCCUGAAGCCACCAUCUAGGCAACACAUGUUGCUACUCAUAUCCCAUUGAGGAAGGUGUGCCGAAUAUUCGGGCCUAAUAUCAAACAAGCAUCGCACCAAACCCUAACAUCUAAAACCGAAUGCCCCAGCCCAGCCACAUACCAGGACUGGGUCCCAUACCGGACCGACGCACUCUCAAAGUCUGCCACCGCCAUCUUUCACCGGUCCAUCUCCAGAGCAGAAACUGACCCAUCGACCUUGCCUGGCCUACCGUCGACGCCACCACGACGCCAGACAACUCCACCAUCAUGCACGUAUCCGUCCACACGCAUCCGUCGCCGAACCUCCGCAUCACCAUGCCACCGAGAUCCGCCGUCGGUCUUGCGGUGGAUGAGCCACCGCUCUUCCGCUUGUCCCGUCCAACUAACACUUGUUUCAAAAUGAUGCCAUCAGAAGGGACAACGACAUCAAAGGUAUCAUCAUUGUCCGAUCCGGUAGAUCCAGAUACCUGGCUUGAGGACAAGCCACUAGCCUUGCAGUAUCCUUCUCUGUAUAACAUUGUACAACGUAAAUAAGCUUUCGUCCGUAUAAUACUUGGUUUUGUUCCUUUAAAUAUUUAGUACAGGCGGGUGCUGGUGGGGGAAUGAUGGGAUAGAUAGUCUCAUCUUGUUCGUUGGUUCAUAAACACCGAUCCUAUCUCAAAGUCGCUUCAUAUUUGGGAAGUUAAGGUACCUUUAAAAAUAAGGGUAUUUGUGUGAUUUGUGCAUAAAGGAGUGAUUUUGACCAAGGACAACUAUAUAUAUAUGAUGCUGUGUGCCGACAAGUUGUGUGGCUCGAGCUAGUUUGAUUAAUCUGGCCAUGCAUCUGGUCUGAGCUAGUCGCUCAUCAUCGUACUAUCAAAUGGGGCGCCAGAUCGCCAUGUCCCGAUCGCAAGAUCCAUGCAUGAAACGCGGAUCACAAGUGUUAUAAGCAACGGCGAACCACAUGCAAUUGCCUAAUUAACUUUGAACACCUGGUUUCAGCCGAGCGAGGCAGAGAGACAAAAGUAUGGUUAGUUGGAUGAUCAAGCUCAGAUUAAACUGAGUUUAUGUUUGUCUAUAUCUCUGCAGUUAGGUAAACAUAAGUGGAUUGCAUGCAUCACUCUAAUGCAAAGGCCGGGGGUAAUCCUCGUUUUCUAGAAAGAGGUCCCAGUCUAUCAAGACGUUUUUAUGUCUCAAUCGAUUAAAAAAUGUAAUAUGCACUUGCAACUAGGUGAAAUGCUUCAGGUUGCACUUCUCUAAAUCGGCUAAGGCUUAAGAAAAUCUCGGUCCAUUGAAAAUAGACGAGCCCCCAUUUUUUUAAGACACACGCCUCAGGUAACUAGUGAAAAUAAGUUGUAAUCGUAGACAUAUACAUGCACGCAAAGUUACUUCUCUGUUGAUAUAAGAACCAAAGGGCCCUUACCAAGCAGGGGCCUUUUGGGAGGCACAUGAGAACCUUUAGAGUGUUUGAAGACAUAUAUACCGCCUAUUUACUCGAUGAGUUGUGUAUGCCUUAUGCGGGGCNNNNNNNNNNNNNNNNNNNNNNNNNNNNNNNNNNNNNNNNNNNNNNNNNNNNNNNNNNNNNNNNNNNNNNNNNNNNNNNNNNNNNNNNNNNNNNNNNNNNNNNNNNNNNNNNNNNNNNNNNNNNNNNNNNNNNNNNNNNNNNNNNNNNNNNNNNNNNNNNNNNNNNNNNNNNNNNNNNNNNNNNNNNNNNNNNNNNNNNNNNNNNNNNNNNNNNNNNNNNNNNNNNNNNNNNNNNNNNNNNNNNNNNNNNNNNNNNNGGGGGGGGUCAUACAAAGGUUCCUGUAAGCUGGGGAACAUGACCCAGGUUGGCCCCAUGAAGCUCCGCCACUGGCCUUAUGUGCUUGCCAAAUCCAUCCAUUAUCAUACCUCUUGAUAUCAACAGAAACCAAGACAGGAGUAGGAUAAUAUGAAGAUCAGUUUAGAUAUCUGGGAAUACCAAUUCAUCAUAGUAGAUUAACCAACAAAGAAUGGAAAUGCAUUGAAGCUCGAUUUAAAAAGAAUUUAAGCUGUCGGAAGGGCUAGCUUAUGUCAUAUGGGGUCGGUUAAUUCUUAUAAAUUCCGCGUUGACGAGUAUGUCGAUAUUCCUACUAUCCUUCUUUGAAGUACCCAUGGGGGUACCGAAAAUUUUGGAUUUUUAUUGAUCUCGCUUUUUGUCAAAUAGAUGAAAACUGAAAAGAAAUCCAGACUAGCCAAAUCGGGCAUAUGUAGACCGAAAGACCAAGAAGGUUUAGGUAUCAAAAAUCUUGAGAUGAAGAAUAAAUGCUUACUCAGUAAAUGGUUAAGAGAUUAUCGGUUGCGGGGAUGGUGUGUGGAUAUAGUUGUUGCGUAACAAGUAUUUACAACCCGUCACGAAAGUAUUUUUGUCCAAAGUUUGCAGUUUUCCUACAGGUAUUAGUAGUCAAAUUUACCAAAGCUUGUUGUUUUCUUUAUUCGCGUGAAAGAAAGAGGACCUUUGGCUAGGGUUUCUUGUGCCUCCUGCCGGUGCUGCACGCCGGUCUACCUCUUCUCCUGUGAUUUUAGGGCCAUAGAGGCGUGAUGGAUCACGACCCUUGCUGGCACGAGGGGGGGGGCUCCGAUUUUUCAUGCUUUUUUUAGUCUUGUUAAGGUUUAUGUCCUGUUCAGGGAGGCGAGGCGAGGCGAUAGCUCUCUAAAGAUGGAACAAGGUUCUCCCUGCCUAGUCCCAUUCCGGUGGUGUUUCUAGUAUCGUCGAAGGACGUGCGAAGGUUUGUCUCCUGCGGAUUUUAUGGGAUUCGGUCGUCGUUUGUCUUUGGUGGAUCCUCGUGGAUUCUAUCUUUGUUCGUAUGUGUUCCCUUGUCUACAGGUUGGAUCCUUUUAAUCUACGCUUCUCUUUAUCGGUGGCAGUUAUUGUUCUGAUGCGCUAAUCCUAUGGGGUCUUAGCAGGACGACUUCUCGAUUGUCUACUANNNNNNNNNNNNNNNNNNNNNNNNNNNNNNNNNNNNNNNNNNNNNNNNNNNNNNNNNNNNNNNNNNNNNNNNNNNNNNNNNNNNNNNNNNNNNNNNNNNNNNNNNNNNNNNNNNNNNNNNNNNNNNNNNNNNNNNNNNNNNNNNNNNNNNNNNNNNNNNNNNNNNNNNNNNNNNNNNNNNNNNNNNNNNNNNNNNNNNNNNNNNNNNNNNNNNNNNNNNNNNNNNNNNNNNNNNNNNNNNNNNNNNNNNNNNNNNNNNNNNNNNNNNNNNNNNNNNNNNNNNNNNNNNNNNNNNNNNNNNNNNNNCGGGGACGACUUUUACAGCACCGAGGGCUUAGAUUGCAAUAACAAUUCGACGGAUACUCUUUUCCAGCGGCAGGUUUUCAAACGAACAUGCUUGCCAGUCGCCAUGUUGCUAGGUGUAUCAAACAAAAGCGUUUUGUAAAAGAAAUAUAACUAAAUUUGCAUCAAAACCCCAUUCUGGGUCUUGUCAGCAACCCAGGCAAUGCAUGUGUUAGGUGGCGACACCCUCCGCCUUAUCUUCUUCCCCCGGGAGUUUCUUUAGACCAGCGUUCACACUCCACACACGACGUCCACAAUCAAAGAUGAGCAAGCAAUUAACCAACAAAAAUGAAGACAAGCCAAUACUCUCAUCUCUAAACCAUCAUAGCCGGGGAAGAAAAGAAAGAGCAAGAGCAACACAAGGACGUGGAGAUAAUGACCUAAACGUGUGGUGCUCAGCAUCAGCCUCGGCCGUGCACAUGGCCGGCCGGCCGGGUACAUGCACUGAUGCACAUCAAACCAUCAUCAAAGGAGCAUGCACGCACGCAUGCAUGCAUGCACGACCCCCAUAAACCAGCCCGGCCGUCACGAUCCACACCCAAAGACGGCCGCUCCCAUGUCCCCCGUCCGUCCUCCCCUCCGUCCGCCCAGACGAUCAGACCAUCGCCACGUACGUUGAGUACGAGUACGCAGACUGUUGCCGGCUGCUGCAUGCCCGCACAGCACGACCACAGCGAUGGCGCUUGAUGAUGUCCCUGUGCGCGCGCCCACGGACCCCCACAGUGCCGCUGCCGCAGGGAUCGGCCAAGAUCUCGUCGUACUGCAGAGAGGGAUAGCAGCAGCAUCUCAUCCCAUCUCCCCGCUCUGAACGUUCUCUGAGGCCGAAUCCUGGCGACGCAUCGCCCCCGGCCCGGCCGAUCGAUCCCCCCGUAUCCGGCCGCAGCCCGCUGUAGGGGCCGCGGCGCCGCCGUGCGGCCACGUAGUACCCCUCGCGCUCGGGGCGGAUCGAUCACGGGCGCGCGGAUCCGUCCGGCCGCGGCGUCGAUCGGCUCCGGCGCGGUACGUACCGACGUCGACGAUGUGACCGGUGAGAAGUUUUUAUGCCACCGGCUCCGGCACUGUGCGGCCGGGCGGUCCGUCCUUUCGGGGGUGACGGGAGUCUUGGUUCAGCAGUGAGUGGCGAACGAACCACCGAGACUGUGCGUGCGCUCAGGAUCGUGGUCGAGACUGUGCCGCCGCUGCUGCGGCAGAGAAUCGGCCUAUCGACCGGCCGGCCGGAGUAAAUUUCUGCCGUGUACGGCGGUUUGGAUAUGGGGAUAGAUGUCGUGUACUGUGCCUGUGCGGCAAUUCGGUCAGACGAGGCGCGCAUCCCUUAAUUCUUCAUUCACUUCCUGUGGUGGCAUGUGCUGCCAUGUUGCGGGCUUAUCAGGAUACGCGAGGUCCCUACAUGGCUACGCUAUCCAACUCUCGUGAGGUUCAUGGCUAGUUAUGGCAGAUCAUAAUAUACGCUUGUGUGAUGUGUUUGUAGGCAGUAUGAUUGAACGGGUGAGUCAAUGACAAAAGAAGUAUAUCAGAUCAUACUAUAUGCUGUUGUGUAGGUUUACACUUGUGUGAUGCGUGUCCAUGGCAAAAAAAAGUAUUCAAAAUUGGACCACUGCAAAAUAUGACUGCCUGAAUGAAUGGCAAACAAGUAUUCAAAAUUGGACCCAACGGGUACAUUCGACGAUUUUUCGCUACUUGUUUUUCGCAGGAUCUAUGUUAUGCACUAUUACUUUUUACUAAUUUUCCUCUCGACUUUUCAUUACACUCUUUUUUCCUAUUGUGUACUCUGUAGUUUACGAUGAUGCCUAUUGUAAAUUUCUACUUCAUUUUCUCUUAGUUAGUGUUGCCUUUUUUAAUAAUAUCUACUACAUUUUGUACCACAUUUGUCGCCGCUGUUUAGAUUCAACAGGAUAUAUCAGAUUAGUUUUUCCUCCACUGUGUUUUUUCACGGGAUAUAUGAUAUUUUUACACCACUAAGUGAUGCAUUUCUAGACCAACUAGAGAUGAUACCCCACGCGUUGUUGCGGGAAUUAUUUGUAAUUAUUUCAAUUAGAUUUGGUCAUAUGAAACAUUUGUAUUUGGAUUAACAAUGUGAGUAUUUUUAAACUAAAAUACAUGUAAUUUGAAUUUAGUUAUUAUAUACUUGCAAAAUACUUAUUAAAAUUACGAGUAGCAUGUGUGGCGCAUGCUAAGGUGGGCAUUUUUUCAUACAUGGUGACAUGGUGAGUUAUCAUAGCUGCAUGUUGAGAAAAUCAGAGUUGGUGCGGAUCAACUAUUUAAGUGUAUUAGAGGAUAUCCCGCACGUUGUUGCGGAAUUGGUUGAAAUUUUUUGAGUUGAUAACAUGAGGCCAAAAACUAAAAAUACAUAUGACUUAUCAUAUUUCAUUAUGUAUAGUUGUAACAUGUUUAUUGAAUAUAAGUCAAAUAAUUGAAUGGAAGAUAUUUUUCCAUGCAUGGUUAAAUGUUGUGUUGGGUCUUUUUCCAUGCAUGAUUGCAUGUUGAGGUGAGCCUUAUCCUAUUUAUAGUUGUACAUUGAGGUGACAUACUUGCAUGUUGAGAUAAAUAAGUUAGUGGGGGUGACGUUCUUAGGUGUAUNNNNNNNNNNNNNNNNNNNNNNNNNNNNNNNNNNNNNNNNNNNNNNNNNNNNNNNNNNNNNNNNNNNNNNNNNNNNNNNNNNNNNNNNNNNNNNNNNNNNNNNNNNNNNNNNNNNNNNNNNNNNNNNNNNNNNNNNNNNNNNNNNNNNNNNNNNNNNNNNNNNNNNNNNNNNNNNNNNNNNNNNNNNNNNNNNNNNNNNNNNNNNNNNNNNNNNNNNNNNNNNNNNNNNNNNNNNNNNNNNNNNNNNNNNNNNNNNNNNNNNNNNNNNNNNNGAUACUAUAUUAUACCCCUUGUGUUGUCGUAGGAAUUGGUUGCAAUAUAGUUUAAUGAGAUUUGAUAGUAUGAACAUGAAUAUUUGAGUUAAAUACAAUACUGCAUAUAUUUGAUCACCUCAUAUGUGCCCUCAACUACCAGUUGAAACGGAGCUAGAAAAAAGCAUGCGCGUUAUACUUUCAUGAUACAUCGUCAAAAACGCUUUUAUAUUAUGGGACGAAGGGAGUGUUAAUUUAGAUAAUGAAUAUUUGAAUGAAUAAUAUGAGAACUAAAACUAAAACUAAAUAUAAUUUAUUUUAUUAAAUAAUUUUGCCAUGCAUGUCUGCAUGUUGAGGUGGGUCUUUUUUCAUACAUGUUUUAAUCAUGAUGCGGCAUAUAUGCAUGUUGAAAGAAAUAUGUUAGUGGAGGGCCAAGGACUAGCUAUUUAGAUAAAGAUAUAGGAAGAGUAUGGAAUUUUGGAUUAAUGAGUAUCAUGCUUCUUAACUAAUGUGUGAUGUAUUUAUUGAACUAAUGUGCACUGCAAAUUUUGUACUACAUUUCCUUUGAGCUUUUCAGUGCACUAUUUUACUAUUGCAGAUAGUAUUUUUCUAUACCAAUGUGUAUUGCAUUUUUCUACUGUACCCCCUUAGUUUUGAAUUGCACUUUAAACAAAAUGUCUACUCCAUUUUUUAUAGUGCACUUGUUGCAGGUUGUCUAGAAUCUUUUGUCGGUUUUGUAGCGCACCUUUUGACUGUUGUCUAUGGAACUCUUUGAAAAUUGUGUUAUCCUUUUGCCCACUGUAUUGGUCCGGAGUUGCCUGAUAAGACCACUAGAAAAAUAAAAUGAAUGGAACAGCUGGAGGGCGAAGCCCAGCUGGCGUCGGCGGCAGCAGGGUCCCUUCUCCCUCCUCCCCUGGUGGCUAUGGCGCGGGACGUGGCAAGCGGGCGGGGAGCACGGGAGCGCCGUGACGUGUUUAUCAUCGGAUGAUCAGUAAAGCGGAAGGGACCUUGAAGGCGAUGGAGUCAGCCAGGUGUUUGAUAAAUUUCAGUAGUAGCAGUGUCAAGUGGGGGCGGCAGCACAAGAGGAUUUCAUUUUUGGUGGUGCUCCUCGGGUGUUGAAUCGUGAAUUUCAGGGUGAAAACCUAAAGUCUGACCUUUAUUGGUUGUGUAUGCCAAUUGUCUUAUUGAAGGUAUUGUUUUGACUCCAGGGUGAAAACCUAUGAUCUUGGAUCAGACGACAACGACACUUGUGCAUUGAUUUCUUCUUGAAGGCGUCGCUUUUGAAGACAUUUUGUGUUUUCCAAGUGCUGUCUUUGGUGAUGGUUUGUGUGCUGCUGCUGAGAGGAGUUGAUUACUGUGGCGAGGCCAUUUCUUCUUCCUUUUUGUGUUUUCUUUAUGGGUUGUGUCCAUCCUGGAUGUUUUUGCGACUUCUCGUUAGUGCAGAGUCUGCGUGUAAUUGAUAUCUUCGCGAUAUUAAUAUAUUCUCCUUAAAAGAUUGUAAAAAUAAUAAAGAGAAAAUAAAAUAUAGAAAUAGAAGAUAUAUAUGUUUGAUGUAGUAGCACGAGGGAGAAUCCGAUAAAAAAUCAAUUAAGAGAUGUGAUGUUCACUCGUUGCUCGUUCAGUUAAUUAAUUAGUUGCCGCAAACUAGGCCUAGCUUAAAUGUUUAAGUUCCUUGUGGUGGAACUAACCUACCCGGGUUCAAGUUCUAUAUUUAACAUGGGUGUUCGCAUAUUUCUCAGGUGUAUUUCAAACUCUACGGCACUAUUCCUUCAAUGGUAUGGCGUAUCCGUCAACUACAAAGUGCUUGUAGUAACUUUGUUAAUCUCAAGAUAAGCCGGUUUAGUCUCUCAGAAAUGCUCAUAGGGGCGAGUGUGCGUGUGCUUGUGAGUGCCUGUGUGUAAUUGUGUUUCUCAAAUAAUAAUAAAAAUAGUUGCCAAAAGGUAAACAUGUGGCAAGGUUCCAUCCAAUCACUUUUUUUUGACAGAAAAUCCUACCACCUUAUCAAGUGACAAGACCCAGCAGAGCUGCUGACUAGGAAGGCUACUAUUGGUAGCUGGGAACCCCCACAUGGCUCAGCCGUUGCCACUUGCCAUGACCCAUGAGCCUCCAACACAAGCAACGCAGGCACACCCAGCAACCAACCAGUGCUGCCCAUGUCAUGCCCUCCAGGACAUGACACCACCCUCCCUCCCAUGAAACCCCUGGCCGACCACUGGCCGUCGUCCGAUCAGCAGCAUAGAUACGCCCCAUCUGCCAGCGGCGGGACGACGCCUCCCUCGUCCAAGCCGGCAUCAUGCCCCUGAUCUCCAGCGGAUCGACGCACCACGGCGCGCGCGCCGGCGAGGUGAUCGAGCAUGCAUGCAUGCGUCCAGGCCGGGGAGGGAGAUCGCGCCCUGGAUACGGUGCGCUGCACAAGGAAACACACGCAUCAUCGAUGACACACGCGCCACACACUCGCCCAGGCCCAGAUUUGGCAGGUGCGCGCGCAAGCGAAGGUGGCCAUAUGCAUGAAUCUCGACGCAUGGCUCAGCGGAUCGAAGCCAGCACGGUGCGCCUGCACUGCAUAAUCUUUUUUCGGGGAUAAAGACCUAAAACGCUAGCCUCCCCAUCUGCGUGUGCUCCUCCCAAGGCGCAUGCUCUGCCCGUCCCAAGGACUCGCCAUGCCAUCGCCAUGGGGAGGAUGGCGCCAAAAUCACAAACAGAUGCAAAUGUAGCAGCCCAAUGAGGCCGCAGAUUUCCGCCUUCUAGCUAGGCGCUGCAGUUCGCAACUUGUUUGCCCUGUGAUCCGAGUGCAAGUAGGACGAUGCUGUGUGUGUGUGUGUGUGAGUGUGUUUCUGACUGUCUACGUACCAAUCGAGAUUUUGGCAGAUCUCCUACCUAGUAGCUGUGAGCCUCUGAGCCUGUGAUGUCAUGGGAAAUUCAUGGUGCUCGAUAGUCAAUCCUAUGGGGAAAUCGGGGUACGUACAGUUUGCAGAUCAGUGUGUGUCAUGAGGGCAUCUGCGGGCUACUUAAUUUGGGUUCUUGACUUCUUGUGGGGAAUCCAAAGCUCUCAACUAAUCAUGUACUGGUUAUAAAAAAAAAUUAUCUGCUUACCGACCAUGUGCUGAUCUAACAUGGAUUGGACUUGUAUGUGAGGCUAGUUAAUUAGGCCUAAACCACCCUAGAACCUCAUCAUUAACUUGUUCGUCAAUGGACCGGGUGGAUGUAUUUUACUUGGAGGGAAAUGUGACGUCUGGGAUCUGGUCGAUAGGGGCUGCCUCAUGGUCUACGGGAAUAUUAUUGACACUAGUUCCUGACUUCUGGGUAUACUCUAGAUCAUAUGGUGUAGUACUCUAGAUCAUAUGGUGUACUCUAGCUUACAUGGGAUAUAUUGAUUUGUUACUCAUCUGUCAAGAAAUAUGUGUCCUGAUAGAACAUGCGAUCAGAUCUUCUUUGUAUGUUUCCGACUUCAAAAGUAUUUACAUCGGCCACUUGUUCUUUUUUCAAAGAAAACUUUGAGGAGAGUUCCUAGAGUACAAAUAGGAACCCAAAUUUGCAUCCUAUGAGACAUCCACCGCAAAAUAAGCGAGAUAGGUUACUUGUUGAUCACUUGUAAAAGAUACCAUUAAAUAUGUCUAAAUAUGUGUAUAUGACAAUGGUUAUGUAAAAUUUAUUAACACAAACGAAGAGGAAAUUAAUGACAAUAAUGCACAUUGCUUGAAAUAUAGCUUGUUGUAGAACAAUUUGGUAACAAAGACAAAAUGGGCCAAUAAGCUAGCUAAUAAGUAGGAUACCAUGAGCAUUCCUUCCAUCAUAGGCUCAAUUUAUAUCUAAUGUGAUUAUUUUUUGUCAAUUAUUUUUUUGUCAAUUUAUAUCUAAUGUGAUUAUGUUUACAUAGUAUUUUGUUAUCCUAAAUAGAGCUAACUGGCCAAUUGUCCCAAAUCAGACACAAAUCAAUGGUAACAUCACAAUCAAUCCCAAUGCCGAAUAAAGCUUCAGAAACCUAAAUUUAAAUAAAUGACCUUUCACUCUUUUAACAAAUAUUUCUUAUUAAUUGCUCCCCCAGUAUAGCAGGCAUGCCUGAUUUGAUUACUAUCUCUGCUAAAAUGGACCAUGCAAUUGAAAACUUGCAAUCAAACUACUCUAACAUCGAUAGCUAACUAGUAAAAUAAUUAAUUGGACAAAACCACGUAACUAUAUCAUCACAGAAAAUAGUUUCACAAUAAAAAUGCAAUAUUUUACUAUUCAUUCCUACAAAUAUUAAUGGUCAAAUUUGUCUAUUAAUAAAUCCGCAAAAUUUAGAACUUGUCUAUUUUGAGUCAAAGAAAGUUUUAAUUAUACUCAUUUUCAAAUUACCAAGGCGUGGUUGUUGAAUCUUGGUAUCCUUAAAUUUACUAGCCAUAGACAAAUUUGUGAAACAUAUAGUACUAGCAAACAUGCAGCAGUUGUUUUGACAAACAUGACAAUCAUAAUUCACCGAACUGAUGCAGAGGUUAGGAGGUACUUCCUCCGUCUCAAAAUAAGUGACUCAACUUUGUACUAAUUUUGUGCUGUACUUAUAACCUUCUUUUUGUACCAUUUGCUCUGAACUAGCUGGUCGAGAAUACGAGAGCAAGCUAGACGACCAAGCGAGAGCACAGCGGUGCUUCUGGGAGUUUCGACCAUUUCCGCUUUGGUGUUUCUAAGUUCCACUUGAUGAAGGUGGGCCAGGGAUGACAUACACCCAGACAGGGACCCACCGAGAGGCCGUUCAAAACAGGCCGCGAACAGAAUUUCCUCCCUUCGCCCGUCUCUAUUUAUAGGGCCCAAAAGCUCGCACACACCACACUAAUCACCAUCACCAUCCACCAUCGUCUUCUCCACGCCCGAGACACAGUGCCGAGACACGCCGGUUUUCAGCACGGAAGCAGGUGGUUUCACUCUCACCGAGCAAGCGAAGAGCUCCUCCUCCAAUGGCGCGGCCACAGCAGCGGUACCGCGGCGUGCGGCAGCGCCACUGGGGCUCCUGGGUCUCGGAGAUCCGCCACCCCCUCCUGUACGUCGCCGUCCUCGAAAGCCUAUGCGAUUGCUCUGGACCGAUCGAUUUUCUUGGCGUGUUCUGAGUUCUAACCAUGGCGGUUUUCUCUCUUGCAGCAAGACGAGGAUCUGGCUGGGCACCUUCGAGACGGCGGAGGACGCGGCGCGCGCCUACGACGAGGCGGCGCGCAUCAUGUGCGGCCCGCGCGUGCGCACCAACUUCCCCGACAACGACGCCGGCGCCCCGUCCUCGUCCUUCCUCUCCCCGGCGCUGGUCGCCAAGCUCCACCGCUUCAACGUGGCGUGCGGCUCGCAGGCCGCGCAGCAGCAGCAGGACAAGGACGCCUCGGCGUCGUCCGUGGGCGUGGACCCGCGCGCGCCGCCGGCGCCGUUCGGAGGCUACACGGGCAAUGCCAGCGCGGCGGCGGCCUCGGCGGCCGCCGGGUGGAGCGGCGGGUUCCUGGAGGAGCAGUACGUGGAGCAGAUGAUCGAGGAGCUGCUGGACUCCAACUUCUCCAUGGAGAUCUCCUACUAGCUCCUCCGCCUCCGCACAUGCUCUGCUCUGUCCCCGCGCCUCCCGCUUGCUCUGCUUCCGCUCCAUUUCUCCGUCUCUCCGUGUGUGGUGUGUGGGUGGGUUUGGUUUUAGAUUAGCAUAAGCUGUGUCGGGAAGAGCUCGAGGUUAGUAUGGUCAUCGCCCGAGGUCUCUGACAGCUUUGUGUAUACAGUAGCUUUGUUAGAGCAUAUUUCUUCGUUCUUGUAUUACUAUUGAUGUCUUGAUGAUGCCCUAAUCAGUGUCCUCUGUUUCGAUCUUCAUCUUAAGCUCUGUAUACAUUAUGGAAAAAUUUAGCACACACAACUCAUCAACCACAAACUAAGUUCACCUUGCUCAGCGAACAGUUUAACUUUUUAAAACGCACACUUUUGUCCUCUUUUAAAGUAAGUGUUUUCUUCAGGGGAAUCUCUCAUUUAAGUAUGACAAUGGGCAUACAUUUUUCAUUUGCAAAACGAACAAAAUACGCACUUUUCAUAGUACAUAAAUGCUUCACGUACUUCCUCCAUCCAUGUUUAUUAGACCCCUUCUUAUUUUGGGUCAAACUUCGAUCAUCUAUAUGACUAAUAAAAUAUAAGAUACAUGCUAUAAAAGUAUACUCUUGAAUUUUUUUUUAAUUAGCUAGGUUGAUAUAGCCUGCUGCAUCGACCCUUCCGGCGCAACAGUGGCAGUGCCAAAUAAAGUCCACUCCAAGCGCGUGUCGUUGGUUAUGGCGGUGGCAGUGGCUCCUCGUUCAAGUGAAGGGGGGAUGAGGAGGAUGUUGGCCCCAUCGACCCAGCUGCCCCCCUUGUCCGCGUGAGCGAGACCGUUGAUGUCGUGGCCCAACAGAAGGGGGAGGUGGACCCCGAGGACCCAGUCCACGCGGUGCUCGAGCUCACCGCCCUCCAAGCUCACAAUGAGGCAUGGAUAAUUUGUUUGCACUCACCAACGAGGAGGAGUAGUGGCAGCUCGUGGUUGCUGCACGUGAGUCCGACCCCUACGCCUCGAUGGAGGAUAUUUCGGUCUGGAGGAGGAGGAUGAUGACCAACGUGAAGGGCGGCGAGUAGAUGGCGCACGCCGCCGAGUAAUGUAGGUAGUCUAGGUAGCAAUGUCGCCCGAGCAGCGACAUUGCUUAUUUUAAAUGUUGUUUAACGACAUUUGAAGUUGCUAACUAUAUGUAGAGAGUAUCAUGCCAACCAGGCAAUUUUAAUGAGACACAGAAUUAAAUAAAAAAAGAGGGGGUUUAGCAUGAUAUCUACCGUAUCAUAAUAAAUGAUAUAGUACUAAAUAUUUUGCAUGUUAAUAAUUAAAGCCAUCUAUGAUACUGAUCUAUAAUAUUAUGCAUUACAGAGGUAAUAUUAUGCAUUAUACUAACUAUGAUAUUUUCCACUACAAGCAGCUUAAUGCGACGGAUAUGGGCCCCAUUAUAGUUUCAUUAUAUUCCUAUUAAUUUAUCAUGAUGAAACAUGUGUUUGGCAUGUAUGAUUUGAGCUUAAAUUGCCCCUGCAUUUUGAAGAAAAUGAAGGGUACAUUACGAAGGCUCUUCGUACGCCUGUCGCGGCUUCUAUAUUCAUAUGGAGCGUUUCAUAUGAUGAUGGAUGACGAUUAUAGAUAUGACGAAUCUGCUAGAGUUGCUCCGACUAGCCGAAGUCCUGAAGAUGCAAACAGCAUUGCACGACGCAGUACAUAUCCCGCGUAUCAGCCGAGACUUAUGAACCAUGAUGAGCGGUACUAACAAGCUGACCUUUCGCCCCGCGAGCAGACCGAAUGCAGAGUGCUACACGGCUACGAAUCUGAAUCUCGGCACCCCAAGUACGCAGCAGGUGGGAGCACCCGCACUUAUGGCCUGACCUGCGUGCGGAGCAGAGCACAGGGACGACACGCGCUGGGUACGUACUCCCUCGCUGCCCGGCACUGAACAAGCCGGAUUCGCUCCCUCGCUGCACCAUUGGCAGGCAGGGGCCAAUCCGUGGAUCAGAAAAUCUCGGUCGAUUCAGGUAGGUGCCGGGGUAAUUGCCGCGCCUCUGCGCCCGCGCCGGUGCGUCACCGAUGACAUUGGCGCUGACGGCGGCCGAGCAGCCGAGGGAGAACCGGUCUGGGUCUUCCUUGGGUGUAUACAGUCUUCUCGUGAUCGUGGUUGCAUGUGGCAGGCACACGCCCGCCGUGGUCUGGAGGGCCGGAGAAGGACCGAUCAUGGCGAGGGGAGGGGAACGAGAGCGGAGAGCCGGGCUCAGUCGCGUCAGCGGCUGCAUUUUUUCAUCGUUGUGCAAUGUGCUGUGCCACUAGUGUGAGGGCAAUGAGCUUGAACGUCUAGCGCCGAGUUGCGUUGAAUUCACCAGGAGCGAAAUAUAUUUCGAAUAUCUAAACAUUCGGUCAGCUCCUUUUUUUUGAGACAAAUUUGGUCAGCUCCUGAAUCAUCCCGGUGGAUCGGAAAACAAAAGCCCAUGCGCAUGGGCCGUGCGAGAAGCCAUGCGUAAGGCCGACGGGUAGUUAGUUGGCUAGGCCAAGCCCGAUCGAGGAGGAUAGAUAAGCAUAGUUCGGCCUGGUCAUGCGUUUCCUCAGUUGUAAAACUCACUGUCCAGCUCCAUCGAAACUCUGAAAUUCCUCUUUGGAAAAUCACACACUCUUUCUUUCAAAUAGUUUUUUUUCCUCAAGUUGGUUGAACUGGUUGGUGCAUGAACUCAAAGUCUCAAACACAAAAAUGUGAAACCGUAUGCUGCUUGUUUUCUCCACCCAACCUAAGUGAAAUUAUUCCAGACUCAUAGGUCAAUCAAAAUCAAGAGCAGAUUCGGUCUACGCAUGCUGUGACAUUGCACUCUGCCGAUCUGUUUUGACGAUUGCCAGCCGAUCGAAUUAGUAGGUCAUCCAUGCACAAAAAUUAAAUGCAGAUUCAGGAACCAAAGAAGGAAAACAAGACACGUAUGUAUAAACAACUAGAUGAUUCCCCGCGCGUUGCUGCGGAAAAUAUUGCCUAAAGUUGGUGUUUUACUCAUAUCGACUGUCUUAAAAGGAUCAACAAAACAAUUAUAGAUGAUUCUGCUGACAACAAUACUUUAGAAUGAUACAUGCCUAUUGAUAGAUAUGUAAGUAAGGUCAAUCAUCCUACUUAUAUCAUUUAAAAUAUGGAGAACAGACAAAAAAUUGGAACAGAGGAUAUUAUGGUCAAUUACCCAUGAAACCAACUGGUUAAAGAUUUAUAUGUUACCAUCUCUGAUUCUUGUGCGAAUGGAAAAAACUACCAAGCUGCAACUCAAACAUCACCACCUUGACCACAAGUCUUGAUUGUGCCUAAUCUGCAUCAGAACCCCCAUGUAACUUUACUUUAAUCCAUCCCACAACAGGACGUAAAUGAAUGUCAUACAAAUGCCAUUAGUCCUGAAAGAAUAUUAAGACUUUCACCUUCUAAAGACUCUGUAGUGUUUAGUUGUAGUUUCAUCAGAAAGCUCCCUCUUGUGAGUAAUACUAUGGAUUGGGUAACAUAUGCAGAAAAACAACAAACUAAAUCCACUGAUUAGUGCAUUGCCUUUAACAAAAUGGAUUCAUUGAGGUGGUGCCAAGAUUGCAAAAUAAAAUAGCAGUCUAAUUCUCAUGUUUUCAUCCAUUCUCUAAAGGAUAAUUUGUAGUUGAGACGUGAAACACAGUGAGAAAUAGAGAAGAACUGAAAGACUGCACUUUUCUAAAAUUUGAUACCUCAUAGUAUGUAUAACCAUUUCCAUCUACAUCAUCAUCCAUGCUUGACUGGGCAAUUAUCAAGUUGAAGUUGUAUGUUAGGAAACUACAUAGUCAAAACAACAGAAAUCUGUAAACAUCGAGAUACUUCUGUUAUUCAUAGAAGAUACAUUUAAUUUGCAUUGCAAUUAGUUAAUAUAAGAACAAAUAUGUGAUGGUCGACAAAGAAGAUUAUGGAUGGCACAUAAAAAGAACGUCUGACCUUUUACAUAGCAAUUUCGUCGAAUAUCUUCAACAAUACACAACAUUAAGAUCUUGGCAAAUAUGAUUCUCAAAAGGGAAUGGAAGAAUGGGAGUUGCAUCGAGUGGAUGAUAGCAUUGCUUUCCUCAAUGGUUCAUGAACAUGGUUCAUAAAAUAUAGGCUGUGCACAAACAGAAUAUCAGGGAAAAUUAGAUCAAUCUAUAGCAUUUUUUGUAUAUCUUAAUUGACCUUUUUUUUCCUGAAUCUCGGGUGUACCCAUGUAUGUGAAAUUUUGAGUAAGCACAUGACACCAUGAAACUCUUCAGUGUGGCUGAGAAAAUAAAAUGAGCAAAAGUACCUCGAAAUAUUCAAUAAAGUUAAAUCCUUAUCUUGAGAAACCAUAAUAUUUAUAAUUUAUGCCCCCAUGAAAAGUUCAUAAUUUAUGGAACACCAUUCAGUUUCAGUGAUCUCUCAUUGACCAUACGAAAGAUGAAACUCUAGAAUAAUUUAUAAAUGCAUCCAUACAAAUAUGCAUUUUACCUAAAAUCUAUUAUUCAUUCUUUUGGAUAUAGUUCACCAUUUAUGCCGAAUGAUCCUUUACCUAAAAUCUAUACAAAACACUUAUACAAUGUUUAGUAUAGAUGAAAUUAUUGCGGAAUUCAGGAAGAAAAAAAAGUAAGCCAUCACGAUCAGCACUAAAACAUGUAUAUGACUUACCCGAGAAACAUAAAUAUGCAUAUACCUUCAGAUCGUUGCAUGUGUGCGAAGUAACCCGCGGUAAAAAAUUGAAAUUUACUAAGAAAAAAUGUUCAGAGUUAGACCACAGAAAGCAACACAUCAAUUCGAAAUGCCUUGAGUUAUUGCAAAAAGAAUUUGUUUACCAGCUAGAACGCAAUGUGUAUAAUCUGUCCACGAGAAGCAUGAAAAAGACAGCGAUUUCAAUACCCCUUUCAGGAAUGAUUCAAGAGAAUUUAUUAGAGAGAGAGAGAGAGAGAGAGAGAGAGAGAGACUUCGUAGAAGCUAAAAAUCAAUGGAAUAACUUCCUUCUUGUUAAUUUAUAAGACUUGGAAUAAUGAAUAUACUCGAUUCAAUCAACUUUUAGUACCUAUGUAUAACAUCAUAGAACAAGGAAAAGAGGAUGAACUGGUCAGGAGUCAUAACUGUUAACAUACUUGUAUUUGUACUGUACUCUGUUGUACUUUGACUAGCUGUUGUAAUAGCUGUUGUAUCCUCUCCUACUUUCUAGGAUCACUAACCACUCUCCCGUCAUGGCCUGCGUGCCUUGCAUAAUGGGAGACUUGGGUUCUCUGAUAUAUAUGUACCCUGUAACCUGCUCCAAAUCGUUGAAUACAACAGCACAAUGAGAACCAUCUCGUCUAUCUUGGUAUCAGCUUCCAUGGCCUUCGAGGACAUCUUCGGCGACCUCUCCUCUCCGGCCGCCUCCGCCACUGCUGCUGCCGACCUUCAGUCCUUUCCUCCUGGUUCCUCUGCACCUCCCACCCCCACUCUUCCUGCCGCCACCUCUGCUCUUUUCACCAUGGUAGUUCCUCCUGCAGAUCCCUACCUCCUCAACUUCCAUCAAGAUCACAUCUCCAACCAUAUCACCUUCAAACUUGAUCCCUCUGCCAACAACUACAUCAAGUGGAGGGCUUUCUUCAACUGCGUUCUCCAGCAACACCGUGUCCAAGAUCACGUUCUCCAGCCGCCUCCCGCCCAGCCCGAUCCUACCUGGCUUGCUGUCGAUCUACGGCUGAUCCUCUGGAUUCUUUUCACCUUGGCCGACUCCCUCCUUGAGCUCAUCGUGGGAGGCGCGACCGACGCCUACACCGCCUGGACCCGUAUCCGGGACUACUUCCAAGCCAACCAAGGUGCUCAAUACCUUCAUCUCACUCGUCAGUUCCAUAACCUCAAGCAGGGUGACCUCACGGUCUCGGACUAUGCACGGCGCCUGAAGGCGCUCGCCGACGCCCUUGCGGACACCGGCCACCCCGUCAAGGACCACGACCUAAUAAUGCAGCUCCUGCACGACCUCGACGCCCGCUUCGACACCAUCCGCACCAUCCUCGGCGACACCGUUCCUCUGCCUCCUUUCGCCGCCACGCGGUCCCGGCUCGAUCUCACGGAGUACAACCUCAAUCUCCGCAUAGCUGAGGCGGGAUCCGCGGCCCUCACCAUCACUGGCGAUCCCAGCACCAACCCUGACCGCGGUGAUCAUGGUGACCGAUCUGAUCGCGGCGACCGCGCUCGUCCUUCUGGCCGUGGCACUAGUGACGCCCGCGGCAACAGUGGUGGCGGUCGUGGCCGUGGCCGUGGUCACAACGGCGGUCGCGGUCGUGGCCGCUCGAACUCUGGCGGCCGUGGGUCCUCGUCUUACCCGCCGUCGCCGUGGACCCGCUACUUCGCUCGGUUCGGCAUGGCAUUGCCGGCUCCCCGCCCCGACUGGGUGAUACGUCUCUGUCGUAUCUACUUUUCCAAACACUUUUGCUCUUAUUUUGGACUCUAACUUGUAUGAUUUGAAUGGAACUAACCCGGACUGACGUUGUUUUCAGCAGAAUUACCAUGGUGUUAUUUAUGUGCAGAAACAAAAGUUCUCGGAAUGACCUGAAACUUCACGGAACGUCUUUUUGGAAAUAAUAAAAAAUCCUUGCAAAAGAUGAAGACCAGGGGGCCCACACCCUGGCCACGAGGGUGGGGGGCACGCCUGCCCCCCUGGGCGCGCCCCCUACCUCGUGGGCCCCCCUGGAGCUCCUCCGACCUCAACCCCAACUCUAUAUAUUCACUUUUGAGUAGGAAAAAAUCAAGGAGAAGGAUUCAUCGCGUUUUACGAUACGGAGCCGCCGCCAAGCCCUAAAACCUCUCGGAAGGGCUGAUCUGGAGUUUGUUCAGGGCUCAGGAGAGGGGAAUCCGUCGCCAUCGUUACCAUCAACCAUCCUCCAUCACCAAUUUCAUGAUGCUCACCGUUGUGCGUGAGUAGUUCCAUCGUAGGCUUGCUGGACGGUGAUGGGUUGGAUGAGAUUUAUCAUGUAAUCGAGUUAGUUUUGUUAGGGUUUGAUCCCUAGUAUCCACUAUGUUCUGAGAUUGAUGUUGCUAUGACUUUGCUAUGCUUAAUGCUUGUCAUUAGGGCCCGAGUGCCAUGAUUUCAGACCUGAACCUAUUAUAUUUUCAUCAAUAUAUGAGAGUUCUUGAUCCUAUCUUGCAAGUCUAUAGUCACCUACUAUGUGUUAUGAUCCGGCAACCCCGAAAUGACAAUAAUCGGGAUCACUCCCGAUGAUGACCGUAGUUUGAGGAGUUCAUGUAUUCACUAUGUGUUAAUGCUUUGGUCUGGUACUCUAUUAAAAGGAUGCCUUAAUAUCCCUUAGUUUCCAUUAGGACCCCGCUGUCAUGGGAGGGCAGGACAAAAGAUGUCAUGCAAGUUCUUUUCCAUAAGCACGCAUGACUAUAUUCGAAAUACAUGCCUACAUUACAUUGAUGAAUUGGAGCUAGUUUUGUGUCACUCUAGGUUAUGACUAUUACAUGAUGAACCACAUCUGGCAUAAUUCUCUAUCACCGAUCCAUUGCCUACGAGCUUUCCAUAUAUUGUUCUUCGCUUAUUUACUUUUCCGUUGCUAUUUCUAUCAUCACUACAAAAUACCAAAAACACUACUUUUGCUACCAUUACCUUUUGCUAUCGUUACCACCACUAUCAUAUUACUUUGCUACUAAAUACUUUGUUGUAGAUAUUAAGUUUCCAGGUGUGGUUGAAUUGACAACUCAGCUGCUAAUACUUGAGAAUAUUCUUUGGCUCCCCUUGUGUCGAAUCAAUAAAUUUGGGUUGAAUACUCUACCCUCGAAAACUGUUGCGAUCCCCUAUACUUGUGGGUUAUCAAGACUAUUUUCUGGCACCGUUGUCGGGGAGCAUAGUUCUAUUCUUUGAGUCACUUGGGAUUUAUAUCUGCUUAUCAUUUUGAAGAACUUGAGAGUCCAAAAACCAAUAUUUAUCCCUCAACUACGAGGGGAGGUAAGGAACUGCCAUCUAGCUCUGCACUUGAUUCACCUUCUAUUUUGAGUAAGCUUGCGACACCUAAACCUGCUUCUGCUAUUCGUUCUGAUAUGUCGCAUGUUAUUGAUGAUGCCACUUCUGCUAUGCAUGAUACUUAUGAUGAAACUACUUCUAUGCUUGAUACUACUAUGCCACUUGGUGAAUUUCUUGAUGAACAACUUGCUAGGGCUAGAGAGAAUGAAAUUAUUGAAACUAAUAAUAUUGAUGAUAGUGAUGAUGAAGACUCUCCCCCUAAUAAAUAUGAAUUGCCUGAUGUGCCUGAGGGCUAUGUUAUGGAUGAAUAAAUUGCUAAAGCUACCUUUGCUUGCAAUGAUAGAUAUGAUGUUAAGAAAUUAUUAGCUAAAUGGAAGCAUCAAUCUCUUAAUGCUAGAAUGAAAGCUGACCCUGCUUUUGCUACUUCACCUAUCUGUGUUACUGAUAAGGAUUAUGAAUUCUCUAUUGAUCCUAAUAUAAUUACUUUGGUUGAAUCUGAUCCUUUUCAUGGCUAUGAAUCUGAAACUGUUGUGGCACAUCUUACUAAAUUAAAUGAUAUAGCCACCCCGUUCACUAAUGAUGAGAGAACUCACUACUUUUACAUCCUUAAAAUAUUUCCGUUCUCAUUAAAGGGUGAUGCUAAGAUAUGGUUUAAUUCUCUUGAUCCUGGUUGUGUGCGUAGUCCCCAGGAUAUGAUUUAUUACUUCUCUGCUAAAUAUUUCCCUGCUCAUAAGAAACAAGCUGCCUUAAGGGAUAUAUAUAAUUUUGUGCAAACUGAAGAAGAGAGUCUCCCACAAGCUUGGAGGAGGCUUCUCAAGUUACUUAAUGCUUUGCCUAAUCAUCCUCUUAAGAAAAGUGAAAUACUUGAUAUCUUUUAUAGUGGACUAACCGAUGCUUCCAGAGAUUACCUGGAUAGUUGUGCUGGUUCUGUUUUCAGGGAAAGAACACUGGAUGAAGCUGAAAUUUUAUUGAAUAAUAUGUUGACAAAUGAAAAUAAUUGGACACUUUCUGAGCCAACUCCUGAGCCUAUUCCUAAACCAACUCCGAAGAAAAGAGGUGUUCUAUUUCUCAGUCCUGAAGAUAUGCAAGAGGCAAAGAAAUCUAUGAAAGAAAAAGGUAUUAAAGCUGAAGAUGUUAAGAAUUUACCUCCUAUUGAAGAAAUACUUGGUCUUAAUUUACCGCCUGUUGAAGAAACAUAUGAUCUUAAUCCAUUACCUAUUGAAGAAAUACAUGGUCUUGAUAACCCGAGACAGGUAGUAAAAGUAAAUUCUCUCUAUAGAUAUGAUAAAGCUGAAAUCCCAUUUACUAAAUUUUCUAGCCCAUGCUUAGAUGAGUUUGAUAAAUUUAUGGUUAAGCAAGAAGACUUCAAUGCUUAUUUUGGUAGAGAAUUAAAACGCAGUGCUGAUAUGCUUGAACACUUGGGUGAUUAUAUGACUAAUGUUAAAGGUGAACUUAAACUCAUUAGUAAACAUGCUUCUAUGGUUACCACUCAAGUAGAACAAGUACUUAAAGCUCAAAAUGAUUUGCUCAAUGAAUUGAACAGUAAGAAUAAUGAUUAUGCUGUUAGAGUGGCUACUAGAACUGGUAGAAUGACUCAGGAACCUCUGUAUCUUGAAGGCCACCCUAAGAGAAUUGAGCAAGAUUCUCAAAAAAAUAAUAUAGAUGCACCUAGUCCUUCUAAAAGGAAGAAAAAGAAAAAUGAUAGGACUUUGCAUGCUUCUAGUGAACCUAUUGCUGAAACAUCCGAGAAUCCAAAUGAUAUUUCUAUUUUUGAUGCUGAAACACAAUCUGGUAAUGAACCUGAAACUAGUGAUAAUGUUAAUGAUACUGUCCAUGUUGAUGCUCAACCUAGCAAUGAUAAUGAUAUAGAAAUUGAACCUGCUGUUGAUCUUGAUAACCCACAAUCAAAGAAUCAACGUUAUGAUAAGAAAGACUUUGUUGAUAGGAAACAAGGUAAAGAAAGAGAACCAUGGGUUCAGAAACCCAUGCCUUUUCCUCCCAAACCAUCCAAGAAAAAGGAUGAUGAUGAUUUUGAGCGCUUUGCUGAAAUGAUUAGACCUAUCUUUUUGCGUAUGCGAUUAACUGAUAUGCUCAAAAUGAAUCCUUAUGCUAAGUAUAUGGAAGAAAUUGUUACUAAUAAAAGAAAGAUACCGGAAGCUGAAAUUUCCACCAUGCUUGCUAAUUAUACUUUUAAGGGUGGAAUACCAAAGAAACUUGGAGAUCCAGGAGUACCCACUAUACCAUGCUCCAUUAAAAGAAACUAUGUUAAAACUGCUUUAUGUGAUCUUGGAGCCGGUGUUAGUGUUAUGCCUCUCUCUUUAUAUCAUAGACUUGAUUUGAAUAAGUUGACACCCACUGAAAUAUCUUUGCAAAUGGCUGAUAAAUCAACUGCUAUACCUAUCGGUAUUUGUGAGGAUGUGCCUGUUGUGGUUGCAAACGUUACUAUUUUAACGGACUUUGUUAUUCUUGAUAUUCCCGAGGAUGAUAGUAUGUCUAUUAUUCUUGGAAGACCCUUUUUGAAUACUAUAGGUGCUGUUAUUGAUUGCAACAAAGGCAAUGUCACUUUUCAUGUUAAUGGUAAUGAGCAUAUGGUACACUUUCUGAAGAAACAACCUCAAGUCCACAGUAUCAAUUCUAUUGGAAAAAUUCCAUCGAUUAUUUUUGGAGGAUUUGAAUUUCCUCUUCCCACUGUCAAGAAGAAAUAUGAUAUUCUUAUUAUUGGGGAUGUGCAUAUCCCCGUUGAGGUAACCUAGUGUUAUUCGAAAAUUCUCCGGUUCCAUGUUAUUCGGAAUGAGUUUGUUAACAAGACUUGAUCAACCUUGUUAAUGGAUUCCUUUUGAUGAUCAUGAGAUGGAUGAAUUUAGAAAACACAACUCUCUAUACCCUCUUUCUACUUUCUGUUAUUUAUAUUAAAUAAAAUUAAAAUAAGUAUUUUCCGUCUGUUAUCUCAUUUAUCCGUGCAAUAUAAAAAUACCCCGAAAAUAAAAGUUCUCCAAAUGCCCUGAAAUUUAAAUAUGAUUUUUUCUGGAAUAUUUGAGAAUAUUUGGCACUGAGAACACAGUAGGGGGGCAUCCACCUGGCCACGAGGGUGGAGGGCACGCCCUACCCCCCUGGGCGCUCCCCCUGCCUCGUGGGCCCAUGGUGGCCCUCCUCCACUUAUUCCUGCACCCACACACUUCUUCUUCCUCCCACAAACACCAAUAUCCAGCUCAAGCACGAGUUCUAGCUCAUUUUGCUGCGAUUUUCGAUCUCCUUGCUCAAAGCACCUCUCACAAAACUACUUGGGGAGAUUGUUCCUUGGUAUGUGACUCCUCCAUUGGUCCAAUUAGUUUUUGUUCUAGUGCUCUAUUCAUUGCAAAUUUGUGCUGCCUAGGUGACCAUGUUCUUGAGUUUGCAUGUCAAAUUUACAUGGUUCCAAGUAGCUCUAAUGCAUGAUGUAGGCUCUAGGCACUUGCAGGAGUAGUUGCUAUCAAUUUUGUUGAGUUUGGUUCACUUUUAUUUUGAAGUUACUAAAACUUUUAGAAUUUUUCAGAAAAUAAUGAAGAGAUUUUUGAGGGGCUCAUUGAGCCGAAGCUCGAAGGAAAAGCAAAAUGAAAAAGUAGAGAGGCCCAAAUAUAAUCUGCCUCGCACCGCGAAGGUUCGGCCGUGUGAAUGGCCUUCCGAUGAUUUCUUGAGAGCAACCGGGAUUUAUGACGAUUUUUAUGAAUUGGAUGAGAAUGCAGGCCUCACCGCCUUCCUCCACAACCAACACGAACAUCAAGUACCUUGUUCCUAUAGAGGCUAUUCACGCCUACCGGAACCCUACAUCAGCCACAGAGCCAGAGUCGGAACCACAAGUUAAUCCUCCAUGACAGUCUAAUUACUAGUGGGAUCCGGAGAUGAUUGCCAACCAGUGGCAAUCAGAGUCUUCUUCUUUGCAGUACGACCCCAACUAUUACUAUGGAUAUCCGUCAGGUCAGCCGUGGCCAUAGACCAACUUAGGCCAAAAGCCUAAGCUUGGGGGAGUACGCAUUUCUCACCGACAUUACAUUUAUGUUCACACACUCAUUGUUAGAUGUCGGUGCUCAUACUUUUUCAUUGUAAUAUCCAUGCUAGUUUAUUUUCCUUUUUAUGCUUUCUCCUUGUGUGUUUAAUAAACCUUAAGAAAAACCAAAAAAAAUUAGUUGUAGCUUUUAAUUAGUUUACUUUCCAUGCUUGUAGUAGUAAUUAAAAAGAAAACCCAAAAAAGAUUUCAUGUUCUUCUUUUGCUUGUUGGGAGCUUUCCCGUGUAAAUAGUUUUAUUUCUUUCCUUUUCUUUGGGGGUCGAUAGGAGAAGACCAUAAUUAAAUUGUUGAAGUGGCUCUUAUAAGCAUUAUUGUUGAUCUGACAAAAGAACCCAUAUUGCCUUGUCUUCUCCUGUUUAUUAAAUGCUUGCAGAUUCCAGCUUAGUCCAAUGCACGUGCACUAUUAUUAUUAUCCACAUCGUUCGGUCAUGCAAGUGAAAGGCAAUUAUGACGAUAUAUGAUGGACUGACUGAGAUGAGAAAAGAUGGUAUGAACUCGACCUCUCUUGUUUUUGUAAAUAUGAUUAGUUCAUCGUUCCUGAUUCAGUGUAUUAUGAAUAAACAUGUUUGCAAUGACAACUAGAGAUCAUAGUUUCUUGUGCCAUGCUUGAUUAGCUAGGAGCUUAUAAUGGUUUACCUUGCGUGCCAACAUGCUAUUAAAAUGGUUGUGAUGUGGUAUGAUAGGGUGGUAUCCUCCUCUGAAUGAUUUAAGUGACUUGACUUGGCACAUGUUCAUGCAUGUAGUUGAAACAAAAUCAACAUAGUCUCUACGAUAUUUAUGUUCAUGGUGCAUUAUAUCCUACUCAUGCUUGCGUUCGGUGUUGAUUAAUUUUAAUGCAUGUUCAUGACUGUUGUCGCUCUCUAGCUGGUCGCUUCCCAGCCUUUUUCUAGCCUUCACCUGUACUAAGCGGGAAUACUGCUUGUGCAUCCAACUCCAUAAACCCCAAAGUUAUUCCAUAUGAGUCCACCAUACCUACCUAUAUAUGGUAUCUACCUACCGUCCAAGUAAAUUUGUAUGUGCCAAACUCUAAACCUUCAAAUAAAUAUCCUGUUUUGUAUGCUCGAAUAUCUCAUGUAUCAACUAGGGCUGUCCGUAUCUUCCAUGUUAGGCGGGUUAUUCUCAAGAGGAGUGGACUCCGCUCCUCACUCACGAGAAAAUGGCUGGUCACCGGGAUGCCCAGUCCCAUGCUUUAUGCAAACUAAAUCAAAAUAAUUGCAAACAAAACUCCCCCUGGGACUCUUGUUAGUUGGAGGCACUCGUUGUUUUGAGCAAGCCAUGGAUUGAUGCUUGUUGGUGGAGAGGGAGUAUAAACUUUACCAUUCUGUUUGGGAACCACCUAUAAUGUGUGCAACAUAGAAGAUACCGCCAUCUCUUGGUUGUUAUGUUGACAAUGAAAGUAUACCGCUCAAAAUAUUAUUCACCUCUAUUUCAAAACCGAGCUCUGGCACCUCUACAAAUCCCUGCUUCCCUCUGCGAAGGGCCUAUCUAUUUACUUUCAUGUUGAGUCAUCAUCCUCUUAUUAAAAAGCACCAGUUGGAGAGCACCACUAUCAUUUGCAUUCCUUGCUGUUAGUUUACAUUGAGUAUGACUUGACUGGAUCUCUUUUACCAUGAAUUACAAUGUCUAGUCAGUCCUUGAUCUUUAAAGGUGCUCUGCAUUUAUGUUUUGCGGUCUCAGAAAGGGCUAGGGAGAUACCAUCUUGUUAUAUCAUAUUAUGAUUGUUUUGAGAAAGUGUUGUCAUCCGAGAUUUAUUAUUAUUGCUCGCUAGUUGAUUAUGCAAUUGAUAUGAGUAAACAUGAGACCUAUGCGUUAUUGUGAGUAUGGUUAGUUCAUAAUCUUUGUUGAAAACUUGAAAUCUAGCUUUACAUAUUUACAACAACAAGAGCAAACAGAGUUUGUAAAAGUUUUUCUUUAUCACUUUCAGUUUAUCAACCGAAUUGCUUGAGGACAAGAAAAGGUUUAAGCUUGGGGGAGUUGAUACGUCUCCGCCGUAUCUACUUUUGCAAACACUUUUGCCCUUGUUUUGGACUCUAACUUGCAUGAUUUGAAUGGAACUAACCCGGACUGACGCAGUUUUCAACAGAAUUACCAUGGUGUUAUUUAUGUGCAGAAACAAAAGUUCUUGGAAUGACAUGAAACUUCACGGAACGUAUUUUUGGAAAUAAUAAAAAAUCCUUGCAAAAGAUGAAGACCAGGGGCCCAGACCCUAGCCACGAGGGUGGGAGGCGCGCCCCCUACCUCGUGGGCCCCCUGGAGCUCCUCCGACCUCAACACUAACUCUAUAUAUUCACUUUCGGGUAGAAAAAUCAAGGAGAAGGAUUCAUCACAUUUUACGAUACGGAGCCGCCGCCAAGCCCUAAAACCUCUCGGGAGGGCUGAUCUGGAGUCCGUUCGGGGCUCCGGAGAGGGGAAUCCAUCGCCAUCGUCACCAUCAACCAUCCUCCAUCACCAAUUUCAUGAUGCUCACCACCGUGCGUGAGUAAUUCCAUUGUAGGCUUGCUGGACGGUGAUGGGUUGGAUGAGAUUUAUCUUGUAAUCAAGUUAGUUUUGUUAGGGUUUGAUCGCUAGCAUCCACUAUGUUCUGAGAUUGAUGUUGCUAUGACUUUGCUAUGCUUAAUGCUUGUCACUAGGGCCCGAGUGCCAUGAUUUCAGAUCUGAACCUAUUAUGUUUUCAUCAAUAUAUGAGAGUUCUUGAUCCUAUCUUGCAAGUCUAUAGUCACCUACUAUGUGUUAUGACUCGGCAACCCCGAAGUGACAAUAAUCGGGACCACUCCCGGUGAUGACCGUAGUUUGAGGAGUUCAUGUAUUCACUAUGUGUUAAUGCUUUGGUCUGGUACUCUAUUAAAAGGAGGCCUUAAUAUUCCUUAGUUUCCAUUAGGACCCUGCUGCCACGGGAGGGUAGGACAAAAGAUGUCAUGCAAGUUCUUUUCCAUAAGCACGCAUGACUAUAUUCGGAAUACAUGCCUACAUUACAUUGAUGAAUUGGAGCUAGUUCUGUGUCACUCUAGGUUAUGACUGUUACAUGAUGAACCGCAUCUGGCAUAAUUCUCUAUCACCGUUCCAUUGCCUACGAGCUUUCCAUAUAUUCUUCGCUUAUUUACUUUUCCGUUGCUAUUGCUAUCAUCACUACAAAAUACCAAAAACACUACUUUUGCUACCAUUACCUUUUGCUAUCGUUACCACUACUAUCAUAUUACUUUGCUAUAGAUAUUAAGUUUCCAGGUGUGGUUGAAUUGACAACUUAGCUGCUAAUACUUGAGAAUAUUCUUUGGCUCCCCUUGUGUCGGAUCAAAAAAUUUGGGUUGAAUACUCUACCCUCAAAAACUCUUGCAAUCCGCUAUACUUGUGGGUUAUCACUGGGUCCCUUCCAACGCUGCUGGCAUCUUCGGCCCUUGCCCAGGGGUUCAUUCACAGGCCUAACCGUUGAUGUACUCUUGCCCAACCCCUUAGCAGCCGGGCCCUUCCACCUUCCCUCUCAGCGCUCCUGGCUGGGAUCAUGUCGCCCUUCUCCAGCAAGCCUACAGCCUGCUGGGUCUGCCCCAACACGGUGUGGACUGGAUCCUCGACUCUGGCGCCGCCACACAUGUCACGGAUAACGCAGGUAACCUCUCCUCGUUUCAUUCUUUUCCAAAGCACAAUUCUGCUAGCAUCAUCGUCGGCAAUGGUGCUCGCUUGCCUAUUUCUGGCGUUGGUUCCACCACUCUCCCUCCCACGAAUCUCUCUCUCCACGAUGUUGUCGUUUGCCCUUCCAUCGUUAAAGAUCUCAUAUCUGUUCGUAAAUUGUCUUGUGAUAAUAAUGUUUCUGUUGAGUUUAACCCCUCUGGUUUCUCCGUGAAGGCUCUUCCAACCAGGACGCCCAUCAUGACGUCCAGUAGCCCAGGCCCUCUCUACUCAUUCUACGGCAAGCACACCCCUGGCGGCACCACGUUCUUCAUCACUCCAGGAGAUUUGUGGCACCAACGUCUUGUCCAUCCCGGCAAGGCAUCCUUAGCAUCUAUUUCUAAAGAUUUUCUUCCCAAUUGUAAUAAUGCUGCACGAUCCCCUUGUACGGCUUGCCAACUUGGACGACAACCUCAUUUAUAUUUUACUUCUUCCAAUAAUUGUAAUAGUGCUCCAUUUCAACUUAUUCACUAUGAUCUCUGGACCGCUCCGCUUACGAGUUUUUCAGGCAAUCAAUAUUAUCUUCUCAUCCUUGACGAUUUUUCCCACUACUCGUGGACAUUUCCCUUAUGUCAUACAUCUGAGACUUCGCCUACUCUCCAACGCUUCUUUACCUACAUCCUCACCCAAUUCCUUACUCUUAUUAAGUGCAGACAAUGUGAUAACAAUGGCCAAUUCAUUAACACUUCCCUUCGUACUUUUUCUCCAACCACGGUAUCAUCUACUGUCUCUCUUGCCCCCAUACCUCUCCACAAAACGGAAAGGUCGAGCGCAUGAUACGAACCACCAACGACGUCCUUCGCACACUCCUUCUCCAUGCUUCCCUUCCACCACCCUUUUGGGUUGAGGCUUUACACACUGCUACACAUCUACUUAAUCGUCGUCCAUCGAUCCGCACUACGCCCCACAGCCCCUAUUUUCUUCUUACCAGUGUUCAACCAUGCUAUGAUCAUCUACGGGUUUUUGGGUGCCUCUGUUUUCCCAACCUAUACGUCACUAGCCCUCACAAAUUAGCCCCCCGUUCCACCCGUUGCGUUUUCCUAGGCUACACCUUGGAGCAUAAAGGCUACUGCUGCUUCGAUCUCACUUCACGUCGGGUUAUUAUUUCUUGGCAUGUCAUUUUUGAUGAAUCAAUCUUUCCAUACACGCCUCCUUCCCUGACUGCCACACCCACACAUGUCGCAGAUAAUCCCGCCCGUGAUCACCUGGCCAUGCAACGUAUCCGCCCCGGGAUCCUCUCCCCACUUCCCUCCGCUGCCAGCGGUCCCAUGCCAUCCACCCCACCUUCCUCUCCACCCAAUCCCGCGUCUUCCACGCCCCGCGGCUCCCCCACCGAGCCGAUCGCAUCUGACCACCCACCCAGCCCGUGUCCCGCGGCGCCUUCCCAUUCGCCCCAUGCGCAUUCUCAUGCACCGCCUGCACCCGAUUCCCUCGGAUCGUCCCCCAAUAUCUUCCUCGGAUCUGCCGUGGAUUCUGCCUCCACCUCGCUCUCUUCCUCUACUCUGGACCCCACCGCAUCAACAUCGUCUUCUGAGCUGUCCACCCCCAGUCCGCCAUGUCGUCCUGUAGUCCCCGUCGCACCACAUGUUAAUUCACAUAAAAUGAUGACCUGGGCCAAACGCGGUUUCACUCAACCACCCCUCACCACCUCCCAAACUAUUUCACCACUCCCUUCUUCCUAUAAAGCAGCCUUAAAGGAUCAACAUUGGUACGAUGCUUGAUACGUCUCCAACUUAUCUAUAAUUUUUGAUUGCUCCAUGCUAUAUUAUCUACUGUUUUGGACAUUAUUGGGCUUUAUUAUCCACUUUUAUAUUAUUUUUGGGACUAACCUAUUAACCGGAGGCCCAGCCCAGAAUUGUUGUUUUUUUGCCUAUUUUAGGGUUUCGAAGAAAAGGAAUAUCAAACGGAGUCCAAACGGAAUGAAACCUUCGGGAACAUGAUUUUUGGAAUGAACAAGAUCUAGGAGACUUGGACCCUACGUCAAGCAACCAACAGGGAGGCCACGUGGUAGGGGGGCACGCCUACCCCCCAGGCGCGCCCUCCACCCUCGUGGGGCCCCUGUUGCUCCAUCGACAUACUUCUUCCUCCUAUAUAUACCUACGUACCCCCAAACGAUCAGAGACGGAGCCAAAACCCUAAUUCCACCGUCAUAACUUUUUGUAUCCACGAGAUCCCAUCUUGGGGCCUGUUCCGGAGCUCCACCGGAGGAGGCAUCGAUCACGGAGGGCUUCUACAUCAACACCAUAGCCCUUCCGAUGAGUGUGAGUAGUUUACCUUAGACCUACGGGUCCAUAGUUAUUAGCUAGAUGGCUUCUUCUCUCUUUUUGGAUCUCAAUACAAAGUUCUCCCCCUCUCUUGUGGAGAUCUAUUCGAUGUAAUCUUCUUUUGCGGUGUGUUUGUUGAGACCGAUGAAUUGUGGGUUUAUGAUUAAGUUUAUCUAUGAACAAUAUUUGAAUCUUCUCUGAAUUAUUUUAUGUAUGAUUGGUUAUCUUUGCAAGUCUCUUCGAAUUAUCAGUUUGGUUUGGCCUACAAGAUUGAUCUUUCUUGCAAUGGGAGAAGUGCUUAGCUUUGGGUUCAAUCUUGCGGUGUCCUUUCCCAGUGAUAGUAGGGGCAGCAAGGCACGUAUUGUAUUGUUGCCAUCAAGGAUAACAAGAUGGGGUUUUCAUCAUAUUGCAUGAGUUUAUCCCUCUACAUCAUGUCAUCUUGCUUAAGGCGUUACUCUGUUCUUAUGAACUUAAUACUCUAGAUGCAUGCUGGAUAGCGGUCGAUGUGUGGAGUAAUAGUAGUAGAUGCAGGCAGGAGUCGGUCUACUUGUCUCGGACGUGAUGCCUAUAUACAUGAUCAUACCUAGACAUUCUCAUAACUAUGCUCAAUUCUGUCAAUUGCUCAACAGUAAUUUGUUCACCCACCGUAAAAUACUUAUGCUCUUGAGAGAAGCCACUAGUGAAACCUAUGGCCACCGGGUCUAUCUUCAUCAUAUUAAUCUUCCUAUACCUAGUUAUUUCCUUUGCUUUUAUUUUACUUUGCAUCUUUAUCAUAAAAUACCAAAAAUAUUAUCUUAUCAUAUCUAUCAGAUCUCACUCUCGUAAGUGACCGUGUAGGGAUUGACAACCCCUUAUCGCGUUGGUUGCGAGGAUUUAUUUGUUUUGUGUAGGUGCGAGGGACUCACGCGUAGCCUCCUACUGGAUUGAUACCUUGGUUCUCAAAAACUGAGGGAAAUACUUACGCUACUUUGCUGCAUCACCCUUUCCUCUUCAAGGGAAAACCAACGCAGUGCUCAAGAGGUAGCAAGAAGGAUUUCUGGCGCCGUUGCCGGAGAGGUUCGCGCAAGUAAAGAAUUGACUCCCGACAACGAGCCAUUUCUGGCGCCGUUGCCAGGGAGGUCUACGCAAAAGUCAACAUACCAAGUACCCAUCACAAACCUUAUCUCCCGCAUUACAUUAUUUGCCAUUUGCCUGUCGUUUUCCUCUCCCCCACUUCACCCUUACUGUUUUAUUCGCCCUCUCUCUCUAUCCUCCCUCUCUUUCUCUAUUUGCCUCUUUUUGCCUUUUGCACUUUCUGCCGUUAUGUCUGAAAUUGGGGAAAUUAUUGUCGAUAUGGACAAUAAUAAUAUCAUGAAAAAUUCCGAUGCUCCUGCUGAAGAACCCCCUAAUAUUGAGCAUUCUUCUGUUAAGCAUGCCGCUACUAUCUUCUUGGCUCAUGAGUUUAGAUUCAUAAUAAAAGAGGCCAAAGAAAUCUUUGCGCAUUAUAGGGUGGACGCUUGCCGUCCUCCCAUAGAGGCUAUCCUUUUUGAUCAAGAAGAAAUAAUGCGUUUUCAAUCUCUAGACUAUGUUGCUUUCAAUGAAAAUCUUAGAAAAAGGGUUCCUACCAAUGUUCUAGUUGAUAGAAUUUCUGAACUUAAUGAUGAUUUGGCUAUUCAAAAUAAUGAACUAGGAUUUUCUCUUGAAUAUAGGUGUGGGAGUCCUGGAUUAGGGGGUCUCCGGAUAGUCGGACUAUCUCCAUUGGCCGGACUGUUAAACUAUGAAGAUACAAGAUUUAAGACUUCGUCUCGUGUCCAGAUGGAACUCUACUUGGCGUGGAAGGCAAGCUAGGAGAUACGUAUAUGGAUAUCUCCUCCUUUGUAACCGACCUUGUGUAACCCUAACCCUCUCCGGUGUCUAUAUAAACCGAAGGGUUUUAGUCAGUAGGACAACAAUCGCAACAUACAAUCAUACCAUAGGCUAGCUUCUAGGGUUUAGCCUCUCUGAUCUCAUGGUAGAUCCACUCUUGUAACGCCCAUAUAAUCAAUAUUAAUCAAGCAUGACGUAGGGUUUUACCUCCAUCAAGAGGGCCCGAACCUGGGUAAAACAUCGUGUCCCCUGCCUCCUGUUACCAUCCGGCCUAGACGCACAGUUCGGGACCCCCUACCUGAGAUCCGCCGGUUUUGACACCGACAUUGGUGCUUUCAUUGAGAGUUCCUCUAUGUUGUCGUCGUUAGGCUUGAUGGCUCCUACUAUCAUCGAUAGCGAGGGUGAGACUUUUCUCCCCGGACAGAUCUUCGUAUUCGGCGGCUUUGCACUGCGGGCUAAUUCGCUUGGCCAUCUGGAGCAGAUUGAAAGCUAUGCCUCUAGCCAUCAGGUCAGAUUUGGAAGUUUGAAUUACACGGCCAACAUUCGUGGGGACUUGAUCUUCGACGGAUUCGAGCCACAGCCGGGUGCGCCGCACUAUCGCGAUGGGUAUGACCUAGCUCUGCCACCGGACGGUACUCUAGAGGCCGCGCCCACAUGAGCUUCGACCCUUAGCUCGGAGCCAACUGCGCUAAUUGAGGACAUGUGGCUAGACACCGCCUCAGGGGCUGCAGUCUCGACAGCGAUCGAGCCAAACACUAGCAUAAUCCUCUGCGCAGCCCAUGACUCCAAGGUGUCGGACUCUCUUCCGGACCCCGAACCAUCCGCGCCCCUGCCAAUCGAAUCCGAUUGGGCACCGAUCAUGGAAUUCACCGCCGCGGAUAUCUUUCAGCACUCGCCCUUCGGCGACAUUCUGAAUUCACUAAGGUCUCUCUCUUUGUCAGGAGAGCCCUAGCCGGAUUAUGGCCAACAUGAUUGGGAUGCAGACGACGAAGAAAUUCGACGCCCACCCACCACCCACUUUGUAGCCAGUGUCGAUGAUUUAACCGACAUGCUCGACUUCGACUCCGACGACAUCAACGGUAUGGACGACGAUGUAGGAUACGAACAUGAACCAACACCUAUAGGGCACUGGACAGCCACCUCGUCGUAUGACAUAUACAUGGUGGAUACACCCAAUGAAGGCAAUGUCGACGAGAUAGCGGAGGAUGACCCCUCCAAGAAGCAACCCAAGCGCCGACGUCAGCGGCGCCGCUCUAAGUCCCGCCAAAGAAAAAGUGGUGAUACCGGCACAGGAGAUAAUAACACUCCGCAUAGCGCCGAAGACAACAACAAUCCCCUCCAGCAAGGUUUAGAGCAGGAGGAUGAAAGAGCCAGCUCUCCUGAGAGAGCGGCUGGUGGAGAGGAGGAGGAUGACAAUCACAUGCCCCCUUCGAAGAUGAGGCAAGCCUCGGCGAUGAUGAAUUCACCGUACCAGAGGAUCCCGUCGAACAAGAGUGCUUCAAACGCAGGCUUAUGGCCACGGCAAACAGCCUGAAGAGAAAGCACUAGCAGCUUCAAGAUGAUCAAGAUCUGCUAGCUGACAAAUGGACUGAAGUCCUCGCGGCCGAGGAAUAUAAACUCGAGCGUCCCUCCAAGAGUUAUCCAAGGCGCAGGUUACUACCCCGACUGGAGGAAGAAGCGUAUGAAACGGCUGAUCGGCCACCUUGUGGCCGUGAUAGAGAGGCAUUCCAGCCAAAAGCUCAGCCUCCACCCCAACGCCAUCCAAAUAAAAAGGCAUGGGGAGAUACACCAGACCUGCGAGACAUAUUGGAGGACAAAACAAAGCAUUCAAGAUCGAUCUACGGAUCAUGAGGGCGCACCACUCUAUGAGACAAUAAACGUCACAUCGGAUACAGUAAAAGAAAAUCCGGCCGGGCCGAACACAGCGGGCAGGACCCAUUCGAGCUACGUCGCGAUAUAGCCCAAUACAGAGGCGCCGCACACCCCUUAUGCUUCACAGACGAAGUAAUGGAACAUCAAUUCCCGGAAGGUUUCAAACCUGUAAACAUUGAAUCAUACGACGGCACUACAGACCCCGCAGUAUGGAUUGAGGACUUCCUCCUCCACAUCCACAUGGCCCGCGGUGAUGACUUACAUGCCAUCAAGUACCUCCCACUAAAACUCAAAGGACCAGCGCGGCAUUGGCUUAAUAGCUUGCCAAUGGACUCCAUUAGCUGUUGGGAAGAUCUGGAAGCCGCAUUCCUCGACAACUUUUAGGGCACUUAUGUGCGACCACCAGACGCCGAUGACUUGAGCCACAUAAUUCAGCAGCCAGAAGAGUCGGCCAGGCAAUUCUGGACUCGGUUCCUUACAAAGAAAAAUCAAAUUGUUGACUGUCCGGAUGCGGAGGCCUUAGCGGCUUUCAAGCACAACAUCCGAGACGAGUGGCUAGCCCGGCACCUUGGUCAGGAAAAGCCGAAAUCUAUGGCAGCCCUCACGACGCUCAUGACCCACUUUUGUGCGGGAGAAGACAGCUGGUUGGCUUGCAGUAAUAACAUAUCAAAGAACCGUGGUACCUCAGAUACCAAGGACGACAAUAGCAGGUCACGUCGCAACAAGCAUAAGCGCCGCAUUAACGGCGAAAGUACUGAGGAUACGACAGUCAAUGCCGGAUUCAAAGGCUCUAAACCCGGUCAGCGGAAAAAGCCAUUCAAACAAAGUACGCCGGGUCCGUCCAGCUUGGACCGUAUACUCGAUCGCUCGUGUCAAAUACACGGCACCCCAGACAAUCCAGCCAAUCACACCAACAGGGAUUGUUGGGUGUUCAAGCAGGACGGCAAGUUAAUUGCCGAAAACAAGGACAAGGGGCCGCAUAGCGAUGACGAGGAAGAACCCCGGCAGCCACACACUAGAGGACAGAAGAGGUUUCCCCUACAAGUGCGAAUGGUGAACAUGAUAUACGCAACCCACAUCCCCAAGAGAGAGCGGAAGCGUGCGCUCAGGGACGUAUAUGCGUUGGAGCCAGUCGCCCCAAAGUUCAACCCUUGGUCCUCCUGUCCGAUCACCUUCGAUCGCAGGGACCACCCCACUAGUAUCCGUCAUGGCGGAUUCGCCGCACUGGUCCUAGACCCAAUCAUCGAUGGAUUUCACCUCACUCGAGUCCUUAUGGACGGCGGCAGCAGCCUGAACCUGCUUUAUCAGGACACAGUGUGCAAAAUGGGUAUAGACCCCUCAAGGAUCAAACCCAUAAAAACGACCUUUAAGGGCGUCAUUCCAGGCGUAGAGGCCCACUGCACAGGCUCAAUUACAUUGGAAGUGGUCUUCGGAUCCCCGGAUAACUUCCGAAGCGAAGAGUUAAUCUUCGAUAUAGUCCCGUUCUGCAGUGGUUAUCACACGCUGCUCGGACGAACCGCAUUUGCUAGAUUCAAUGCGGUACCACAUUAUGCAUACCAAGAUGCCAGGACCUCACGGAGUUAUUACAGUCAAUGGAAACACAUAGCGCUCUCUCCGAACAGAGGAGCACACCGCGACCCUUGCAGCAGAAGCGCAAAGCAGCCUCCCAAGGCAAUCUACCAGUUCGGCGUUUCAAAGCCCGGACACCUUCAAGCACACUCGAGGCAAUUGGCAAACAGACCGCCUGGCGCGAUCUGAGCUCGCGUAGCAAUACGACGGCCACCCCAAUCCCAGCCCAACGAUGUUAUUCGUGUCACGCGUACAUAAUUACGCAUUAAAAAUACCAUGGGCACAGGUGGGAAGGGGGGGGGGCACAACUGCGGCACGCCCCAAAACGCAGCCUAAACCACACUAGGGGCUUCUCGUUUGGUUAUUUUUCUUUUUCUUUCAGGACUUUAAUCUCUGGAAACACUAUCCGACAGCUCUAUUGCCAAACACAUGAUAGAGCAACCAAGGAGGCAGACAACUACGAAAUUCCCAGGUUGAUUACAGAUUUCAUAUCAUUCCUCAGCUCGCCCUUGGAAGGGACACAAUCCUACUUUUUUGCUUAUUGCACUAUCUGUAUCACUCUGCUUCAAUGCAAAUUUUUAAUAUACAAUGCAUGACAUUACGACUAUUAUUGCAUUUUCGUUAUAUAUAUAUACCUCUGUGUUCAUUAAUGACGCCUUGCAACCGUACACUCUGGUACGACCAAUGCACCAGGGGCUUACGUACCCACAAUAUGGUGUGAAAAGUCCGAACACUUUCACAAGUGCGGCACCCUGAACUUAUAGCAUUAUAUGCAUCAGCUCCGAAUCAUGUCUUUGGUCAAAUGUUGGGUUUGCCCGGAUCCUAUGUUUUGGUACCUUACGUUCCGCUCUAUCGGCUAAGGUAGCGCUAGGAGAACUACUGCGAUUGUGCCCCGGUUCUACCGGGCUGAGCACCUCAGUAGAGAAAGAUAAAACUGACUGUCAUGAUAAGGCGAGAGACUGGUCGCUAUUCGGCGAGGUUUUUCGAGUCCCUAAAGACUUAUGCCGCUUAGGGCGAGGGGCCGGCUCCGUCCGGCUUACAGGCGUGUAUCAUGCCCCGAAUUCGGCCUUCUGAAUACCAGGGGCUUCGCCGAAAUUUAAAAUUAUAGAAUUCUAUGGCUAAGUGAGAGUGAUAAAGCAUUAUUAGUCUGGUUGCCUUGUUCGUUGUGCUGAGCACCUCCCUCGAAGGACCCAAACAUGGGAACAAGAGUGCUCAGGUUUAUCCCGAACACCCCAGCACUCGUGGCAUGGGGGCAGAAGCCGAGGACUAGCCAUCUCUCAGAUUGGAUAAACAGCCAAACAGAAGGAAAUAUUUUAAAUUCACACAAGUGUUGCACAGCGAAUAUGAUACAACUUUUCAUACAUACAGGACAAAACGAGCAAGUCUCAUUCAAAUAUUACAUUUUGUGAACACUCAUCCGCGAUAAGACGGGCGCCCGGCAGAACACCCUCGUAGUACAUCUCGGGGUGGCGGUGCUCCUUGCCCUCCGGCGGCCCCUCCUUGAUCAGCUUCACGGCGUCUAGCUUGACCCACUGCGUUUUUACACGGGCGAAAGCCCGACAUGCACCUUCAAUGCAGACGAAUCGCUUGACAACCUCCAGCCGUGGGCAGGCAUCUACAAGCCACCUCACCAGGCCGAAGAAGCUGUUCGGAAGGGCGUCGCCAGGCCACAACCGGACUAUGAAGCCCUUCAUGGCCUGAUCGGCCGCCUUAUGUAGCUCGACCAUCUGCUUCAGUUGGUCGCUCAUCGGCACCGGAUGUUCAGCCUCAGCAUACUAAGACCAGAACAGCUUCUCUAUCGAGCUCCCGUCCUCGGCCUGGUAAAAUUGUGCGGCAUCGGACACACCGCGGGGCAAAUCUGUGAAUGCUCCUGAAGAGCUCCGGAUCCGGGUAAGUAAUCGAUAAUUUACUUUUACAUGCUUGCUUUGCAUAUAGAAAGCCUUACCCGCCGCUAUCCUCUUCAUCGCGUCGAUCUCCUGAAGGGCCUUCUGGGCCUCGGCCUUGGCACUCUUCACGCUCUCACGGGCCGCGGCAAGCUCAGACUCUCGGUCUUCAAGUCAAGCUCCAACGCCUCGUGCUUCAUCACGAGAGCCUGGAGCUCUUGCUGCACCUCGCCCACCCGAGCAUCGUGCCUCUCCCACUCGGUGCGCUCCUGGGCCGCCUUCUCUUCGGCCUGGGACAACGCUUGCUUCAGGGUCGCCACCUCGGUCGUGGCCCCUGGCAAACAUACAAUGAUCCUGUCAUUUAGCAAUCGCAUCCUUUUUCUCAUCUAUAGACGGGGUAUUACUUACCCUUGUUCUCCUCGAGCUGCCUCUUAGCAAGGCUGAGCUCUUUCCAGGACCCCUCGAGGGCCUCCUUCAGUACGGCGACCUCCGCAGUUAGUGCGGCGGACGCCAGCAGCGAAGCCUGCAUAUGCAUAUUGACAUACUUAUAUUAGACUCCUGCGGUAUUAUUUGAUCCUCUGUUCUGCUUUUCUUUGUGAACACCGAACAAAGCAUCAGGGGCUACUGUCUAUGCGGUAAUAUUUCUACUACAUUUUAAACAUACUUACCUCGAAGCCUGUUAGAAGGCUAGUACAGGCUUCAGUCAAUCUGCUCUUGGCGGACUGAACCUUCUGGAUCACCGCACUCAUGAUAGUGCGGUGCUCCUCCUCGAUGGAAGCGCUGCGAACCGCUUCCAACAUAUUGUCCGGCGCCUCUAGAUGGACAGAGGUCACCGGCACAGGCGUCUCACCCCUCUUAGAAGGAGACAGCCUGCCCGAGCCCGGAACCGCUGGAGGUUCCGGCGCGGUGUUCGGCUGAGGGCCGAACUCGAAGCUCUCAGGGGCCCCGUCCCCUCUGCUCCCGGAGUCCGGAAGGUCGCCUUGAGGUGCCUCCAGGACUGUCUCCCCUCGAUCCGGUGCCUCUUGAGACAACACCUCGGCGUCCUCGGCAGGAUGAGGGGAGGUGGCAGUCGGGACUGGAUCGCUAUCCAUGUCCGACGAACCCAGGGAGCCGUCUAAUGAUACCUCGAUAUUGGCUCAUGGCGGCUUGCGUAAUUAUGUUCGGCGAUUAGGGAAAGCAAUGCGACAAAGGAAUCCUAUGGGUUACUUUGGUAUCCGAAUACUUACAAUCUCCCCUAGGGCUUGGCCCUGGGCAACCACUCGUCUUCACUUUCGUCGGCGGCGGUGGAGCUGUCCGAAAGGAGAGUCCUUCCCUUCUUGGACCCUCUGGCCUCCCCAGUUGGGGCGGCCUUCCUUUUCUUGUCUCCCCUAGUUGGUGGGGGAGCCUCUUCUUCCUCUUCCUCAUCUUUGGGGGAAGAGUGCGCCGCAGAGUCGUCGGAUGGUGAGUCUAACGACGCCUGGCAUCGGGAACUCUUUCGAGCUCCCUUGGCCUUCUUGGUCUUCUCCGGCACCUUAUAAGGGGCCGAAGUCAGCAUCUUCGUCAGAAGAGUGUCUGCGGGGCCUUCGGGCAAGGGAGUCGGACAGUCGAUCUGUCCGGCCAUCUUCUGCCAGUCCUGUCAAAAUUACGGGAGUUUAGAUCCCGCAUAGAGUCAAUCUAUAUAAAAAUAAGUAUCCUGUGAAAGGUAAAACAACUUACCGCGCUGGCUUGGCGCUUUGCGCUGAAUCCGUGAUCCUCAGUAAUGGGGGGAGGGACCUCGGCACUCUUGAACAGCAACCUCCAGGCAUCUUCAUGAGUUGUGUCGAAGAGCCUGUUCAGAGUUUGGUGCUGCGCCGGAUUGAACUCCCACAAAGUGAACUCCCGUUGUUGGCACGGGAGUAUCCGGCGGAUGAGCAUAACCUGGACUAUGUUGACAAGCUUGAGCUUCUUGUCCACCAUGUUUUGAAUACAUGACUGGAGUCCGGUCAGCUCUUUUGAAUUACCCCAGGAUAGGCCCUUCUCCUUCCAGGAGGUGAGCCGCAUGGGGGUGCCAGAUCGGAACUCGGGGGCCGCUACCAUGCGGGGUCACGCGGCUCGGUGAUGUAGAACCACCCCGAUUGCCACCCCUUUAUGGUUUCCACAAAGGAGCCCUCGAGCCAUGUUAUGUUGGGCAUCUUGCCCACCAUGGCGCCUUCACACUCUGCUUGGCGGAUGCCCACCACCUUCGGCUUGACGUUGAAGGUCUUCAGCCAUAGGCCGAAGUCGGGCUUGAUGUGGAGAAAGGCCUCGCACACGACGAUAAACGCCGAGAUGUUGAGGAUGAAGUUCGGGGCCAGAUCAUGGAAAUCCAGGCCAUAAUAGAACAUGAGCCCCUGGACGAAGGUAUGGAGAGGGAAUCCCAGUCCGCAGAAGAAAUGGGUGAGGAAUAUGUCCCUCUCAUGGGGCCUGGGGGUGGGGAUGAGUUGCCCCUCAUCUGGGAGCCGGUGUGCGAUGUCGUCGGGCAGGUAUCCGGAUCUCCUCAGUUUCUUGACGUCUCCCUCCGUGACGGAGGAGACCAUCCACUUGCCUCCCGCUUCGGACAUGGUUGGAUAAGGUUGAGAUGGAAGUGAGGACUUGGGCGCUAGAGCUCGAGUGUUCGGGAGCGGAUGAGCAGAUGAGGAAGAAGGCGUGGAUAGAAAGGUGAAUCCUUACCCCUUUAUAUGGGCGGACAAAACUAAGCGUCCCCACUUGCCUGGUAAAACUCGCUUAUCCCCCAAGCGCUGUAAUUGAUGGCGCGGUUGGGUUACCCACGCCCGUAUUGAUGAGAAUCCCGUAAUAAGGGGACACGAUCUCUGCUUUGACAAGACGUGUCGAAGAACUACCUCGCGUUAUGUGCGGGGCUGGUUAAAAGAAACGGUUCGAAUACUCACCGGGCCAUGACGUAAUGUCAUGUGGCCAAAACAAGCUAGCGGAUUAGAUCUGCGAAAACAUUAUUCUCUCUAUGGUGGAAUGUGGAACUUAUUUUGCAGGGUCGGACACUAUCCUCGUAUUCAAAUUCUUCUGUGAUGUAUUCCGAGAAGGAACCCGCCUUGCAAUGCCGAAGACAACUGCGCGCCAGACUCGUCGUCAUUGAAGCCUGGUUUAGGGGAUACUAUGGGAGUCCUGGAUUAGGGGGUCUCCAAAUAGCCGGACUAUAUCCAUUGGCCGGACUAUUAGACUAUGAAGAUACAAGAUUGAAGACUUCGUCUCGUGUCCGGAUGGGACUCUACUUGGCGUGGAAGGCAAGCUAGGCGAUACGUAUACGGAUAUCUCCUCCUUUGUAACCGACCUUGUGUAACCCUAACCCUCUCCGGUGUCUAUAUAAACCAAAGGGUUUUAGUCCGUAGGAUAACAAUCACAACAUACAAUCAUACCAUAGGCUAGCUUCUAGGGUUUAGCCUCUCUGAUCUCUUGGUAGAUCUACUCUUGUAACACCCAUAUCAUCAAUAUUAAUCAAGCAGGACGUAGGGUUUUACCUCCAUCAAGAGGGCCCGAACCUGGGUAAAACAUCGUGUCCCCUGACUCCUGUUACCAUACGGCCUAGACGCAUAGUUCGGGACCCCCUACCCGAGAUCUGCCGGUUUUGACACUGACAAUAGGCUCACAAAGUUCUGUCAAAAGAAUGCUUACAAUGAUGAAUUGGUUGUGCAAUACGAAGGGCCAAGAGAGGAACCUAUACCUCCCAAAGUUGACCUUGGGGACUUUUGUCCCAUUAAAUUUAGCCCUUUUGAUCACUUUUGCUUGCCUCAAAGAAAACUUGCUGCCGAACGUAGAGAAUAUGAAAUGAGCUUUAAUGAUCUAUCUUACUAUUAUGGCAAUACCUAGAUCUAUCCUUGCUUUUAUGCCUAGCUAGGGGCGUUAAACGAUAGCGCUUGUUGGGAGGCAACCCAAUUUUAUUUUUAUUCCUUGCUUUUUGCUCCUGUUUAGUAAUAAAUAAUUUAUCUAGCCUAUUUUUUGGUUGUGUUUUUUGUGUUUAAUUAGUGUUUGUGCCAAGUAGAACCGUUGUGAAGACUUGGGGAAAGUCUUGUUAGUCUUGCUGUAAAAAACAGAAACUUUAGCGCUCACGAGAACUGCUGCCAUUUUUAUUUGGAAAGUACUAUUUAGUUAAUUCUUUUUGAAGAUGAUUAAUAGAUAAAUUCCUCACUUCCAUCAAUUUAUUUUAGAAUUUUUGGGGUUCCAGAUCUUGCGCUAGCUACAUAUUACUACAGACUGUUCUGUUUUUGACAGAUUCUGUUUUUCGUGUGUUGUUUGCUUAUUUUGAUGAAUCUAUGGCUAGUAUAAUAGUUUAUAAACCAUAGAUAAGUUGGAAUACAGUAGGUUUAACACCAAUAUAAAUAAAGAAUGAGUUCAUUACAGUACCUUGAAGUGGCCUUUUGCUUUCUUUCGCUAACGGAGCUCACGGGAUUUUCUACUUUAAGUUUUGUGUUGUGAAGUUUUCAAGCAUCGGGUAAGGAUUUGAUGGAUUAUGGAACAAGGAGUGGCAAGAGCCUAAGCUUGGGGAUGCCCAUGGCACUGAUACAUCUCCAACGUAUCUAUAAUUUUUGAUUGCUUCAUGCUAUAUUAUCUACUGUUUUGGACAUUAUUGGGCUUUAUUAUCCACUUUUAUAUUAUUUUUGGGACUAACCUAUUAACCAGAGGCCCAGCCCAGAAUUGUUGUUUUUUGCCUGUUUUAGGGUUUCUAAGAAAAGGAAUAUCAAACGGAGUCCAAACGGAAUGAAACCUUCGGGAACGUGAUUUUCUCAACGAACAAGGCCUGGGAGACUUGGACCCUACGUCAAGAAAGAAAAGAGGAGGCCACGAGGUAGGGGGGCGCACCUACCCCCCCUCCCAAGCGCACCCUCCACCCUCGUGGGCCCCCUGUUGCUCCACCGACGUACUCCUUUCUCGUAUAUAUACCUAUGUACCCCCAAACUUUCUGUAUCCACGAGAUCCCAUCUUGGGGCCUGUUCCGGAGCUCCGCCGGAGGGGGCAUCGAUCACGGAGGGCUUCUACAUCAACACCAUAGCCCCUCCGAUGAAGUGUGAGUAGUUUACCUCAGUCCUACGGGUCCAUAGUUAUUAGCUAGAUGGCUUCUUCUCUCUUUUUGGAUCUCAAUACAAUGUUCUCCCCUCUCUUGUGGAGAUCUAUUCAAUUUAAUCUUCUUUUUGCGGUGUGUUUGUUGAGAUCGAUGAAUUGUGGGUUUAUGAUCAAGUCUAUCUAUGAAUAAUAUUUGAAUAUUCUCUGAAUUCUUUUAUGUAUGAUUGGUUAUUUUGCAAGUCUCUUCGAAUUAUCAGUUUGGUUUGGCCUACUAGAUUGAUCUUUCUUGCAAUGGGAGAAGUGCUUAGCUUUGGGUUCAAUCUUGCGGUGUCCUUUCCCAGUGACAGUAGGGGCAGCAAGGCACGUAUUGUAUUGUUGCCAUUAAGGAUAACAAGAUGGGGUUUUCUUCAUAUUGCAUGAGUCUAUCCCUCUACAUCAUGUCAUCUUGCUUAAGGCGUUACUCUGUUUUUAACUUAAUACUCUAGAUGCAUGCUGGAUAGCGGUCGAUGAGUGGAGUAAUAGUAGUAGAUGCAGGCAGGAGUCGGUCUACUUGUCUCAGACGUGAUGCCUAUAUACAUGAUCAUACCUAGAUAUUCUCACAACUAUGCUCAAUUCUGUCAAUUGCUCAACAGUAAUUUGUUCACCCACCGUAGAAUACUUAUGCUCUCAAGAGAAGCCACUAGUGAAACCUAUGGUGCCCGGGUCUAUCUUUAUCAUAUUAAUCUCCUACUACUUAGUUAUUUCCUUUGCUAUUUCCUUUGCCUUUAUUUUACUUUGCAUCUUUAUGAUAAAAAUACCAAAAAUAUUAUCUUAUCAUAUCUAUCAGAUCUCACUCUCGUAAGUGGCCUUAUAGGGAUUGACAACCCCUAUUUGCAUUGGUUGUGAGGAUUUAUUUGUGUUGUGCAGGUACGAGGGACUCGCGCGUAGCCUCCUAUUGGAUUGAUACCUUGGUUCUCAAAAACUGAGGGAAAUACUUAUGCUACUUUGCUGCAUCAUCCCUUCCUCUUCGGGGAAAACCAACGCAGUGCUCAAGAGGUAGCAAGAAGGAUUUCUGGCGCCGUUGCCGGGGAGGUCUACGCAAAAGUCAACAUACCAAGUACCCAUCACAUACCCUUAUCUCCCGCAUUGCAUUAUUUGCCAUUUGCCUCUCGUUUUCCUCUCCCCCACUUCACCCUUGCCAUUUUAUUUGCCCUCUCUCUCUCUAUCCUCCCUCUCUUUCUCUAUUUUCCUCUUUUUGCCCGCUUGCUUUUUGUUUGCUUGUGUGUUAGUUUGCUUGCUUGUCAUGAUGGCUCAAGAUAAUACUAAAUUGUGUGACUUCACCAAUACCAACAACAAUGAUUUUAUUAGCACUCUGAUUGCUCCUCUUACCAAUGCUGAAUCUUGUGAAAUUAAUACUGCUUUGCUGAAUCUUGUCAUGAAAGAUCCGUUUUCCGGCCUUCCUAGUGAAGAUGCCGCUACCCAUCUAAAUAGCUUCAUUGGUUUGUGUGACAUGCAAAAGAAUAAAGAUGUGGAUAAUGAUAUUGUUAAAUUGAAGCUAUUUCCUUUUUCGCUUGAGAUCGUGCUAAAGCUUGGUUUUCGUCUUUGCCUAAAAAUAGUAUUGAUUCAUGGAAUAAGUGCAAAGAUGCUUUUAUCUCUAAGUAUUUUCCUCCCUCUAAGAUCAUCUCUCUUAGAAAUGAUAUUACGAACUUUAAGCAACUUGACCAUGAACAUGUUGCACAAGCUUGGGAGAGAAUGAAAUUAAUGAUACGUAAUUGCCCUACUCAUGGUUUAAAUUUGUGGAUGAUUAUACAAAAUUUUUAUGCCGGAUUGAAUUUUGCUUCUAGAAAUCUUUUAGAUUCGGCCGCGGGAGGCACUUUUAUGGAAAUCACUUUAGGAGAAGCUAAUAAACUCCUAGAUAAUAUUAUGGUUAAUUAUUCUCAAUGGCAUACUGAAAGAUCUACUAAUAAAAAUGUGCAUGCGAUAGAAGAAAUUAAUGUUUUGAGUGGAAAGAUGGAUGAACUUAUGAAAUUAUUUGCUAAUAAGAGUGUUUCUUCUGAUCCUAAUGAUAUGCCCUUGUCUACUUUGAUUGAGAAUAAUAAUGAAUCUAUGGAUGUGAAUUUUGUUGGUAGGAACAAUUUUGGUAACAACGCGUAUAGAGGAAAUUUCAACCCUAGGCCUUAUCCUAGUAAUCCCUCUAAUAAUUAUGGUAAUUCCUACAACAAUUCUUAUGGAAAUUAUAAUAAGAUGCCCUCUGAUUUUGAAUCUAAUAUUAAAGAAUUUAUUACCUCGCAAAAGAAUUUUAAUGCUAUGAUUGAAGAAAAAUUGCUUAAGAUUGAUGAUUUGGCUAGGAACAUUGAUAGAAUUUCUCUUGAUGUUGAUUCUUUGAAACUUAGAUCUAUUCCACCUAAGCAUGAUAUCAAUGAGUCUCUCAAAGCCAUGAGAAUUUCCAUUGAUGAGUGCAAAGAAAGAACCGCUAGGAUGCAUGCUGAGAAAGAUGCCUUUAUAAGAGCAUGUUCUUCUAGUUCCUAUGAAAAUAAAGAUGAAGAUCUAAAAGUUAUUGAUGUGUCCCCUAUUAAAUCUUUGUUUUGCAAUAUGAAUCUUGAUAAUGAUGGGACUGAAUAUGAUCCACCUUUACCUAGAAGGCGUUCCAAGAAUUCGGAAUUUGUUGAUCUUGAUGCUAAAUUUGAUUAAAGUGGGAUUGAAGAAAUUAAAACCCUAGAUGUUGCUAAACCCACUAUUUUGGAUUUCAAGGAAUUUAAUUAUGAAAAUUGCUCUUUGAUUGAUUGUAUUUCCUUGUUGCAAUCCGUGCUAAAUUCUCCUGAUGCUUAUAGUCAAAAUAAAGCGUUUACUAAACAUAUUGUUGAUGCCUUGAUGCAAUCUUAUGAAGAAAAACUUGAACUGGAAGUUUCUAUCCCUAGAAAACUUUAUGAUGAGUGGGAACCAACUAUUAAAAUUAAAAUUAAAGAUCAUGAAUGCUAUGCUUAUGUGAUUUUGGUGCUAGUGUUUCCACGAUUCCAAAGACUUUGUGUGAUUUGUUAGGUUUCCGUGAUUUUGAUGAUUGCUCCCUAAACUUGCACCUUGCAGAUUCCACUAUUAAAAAACCUAUGGGAAGAAUUAAUGAUGUUCUUAUUGUUGCAAAUAGGAAUUAUGUGCCCGUAGAUUUUAUUGUUCUUGACAUAGAUUGCAAUCCUUCAUGUCCUAUUAUUCUUGGUAGACCUUUCCUUAGAACGAUUGGUGCAAUUAUUGAUAUGAAGGAAGGAAAUAUUAGAUUCCAAUUUCCAUUAAGGAAAGGCAUGGAACACUUUCCUAGAAAGAAAAUUAAAUUACCUUAUGAAUCUAUUAUGAGAGCCACUUAUGGAUUGCCUACCAAAGAUGGCAAUACCUAGAUCUAUUCUUGCUUGUUAUGCCUGGCUAGCACUACAAAAAAAAGACACAUCCGUGACAUUUUGGGCCGAACGAAAUUUUUUUCUGUCAUACAUAUGGCACUUCUAUGACGAUAAUUGUGACAAAACCCGGUAUCAUCAUCGAUGUGGUGGGCUCCUACUUCUAUGACAAAAAAUCAUGACAGAAAAUGGGCUUUUCGUCCUGGGCGGGCCGGAGAUGUAGCUGCAUGACAUUCUUUGGGCCGUCCAUGAUGGAAAAAACCGUGGUAGAAGCGAGGGGGAGGAAAAUUUCUGGGAGUUCCUGGUUACGGUGGGAGGUCGGGGGCCGAGCGAUGCGCGUUUCUCUCGUACAUGUACGCGCGUGUGUGCGAGGCGUUGGCUCUAACUGAACCCGAGCGAGGCAUUGGGCUCUAACUGAACCCGAGCGAUUGCACUGCAGGCUACGCGUUACUGAACCCGAGUGAUCGAUCGAUGGCUGUUAACUGAACCCGAUCGAGUGAUUCCUUCGCUACUGUUGCUAACUGAAGCCGAUGGAUGCUUCCUCUGAUGAACAGUGAGNNNNNNNNNNNNNNNNNNNNNNNNNNNNNNNNNNNNNNNNNNNNNNNNNNNNNNNNNNNNNNNNNNNNNNNNNNNNNNNNNNNNNNNNNNNNNNNNNNNNNNNNNNNNNNNNNNNNNNNNNNNNNNNNNNNNNNNNNNNNNNNNNNNNNNNNNNNNNNNNNNNNNNNNNNNNNNNNNNNNNNNNNNNNNNNNNNNNNNNNNNNNNNNNNNNNNNNNNNNNNNNNNNNNNNNNNNNNNNNNNNNNNNNNNNNNNNNNNNNNNNNNNNNNNNNNNNNNNNNNNNNNNNNNNNNNNNNNNNNNNNNNNNNNNNNNNNNNNNNNNNNNNNNNNNNNNNNNNNNNNNNNNNNNNNNNNNNNNNNNNNNNGGUGGGGGUGGAUGAAUAGGACCCUGUGGUGUUGCCUCUGGAUGAACAGGACCCCGAUCGAUCGAGCCGGUUGGGGCUGGAUGAACAGGACCCCGUGGAGGGCUGGAUGAACAGGACCACCCCGUGGAGGGCAGGAUGAAUAGUAGACGGUGGAGGGCAGGAUGAACAGUAGCCCGUGGAGAGGGCUGGUUGAAUAGUAGCUGGUGGAGUAGCGCGCGGUGGAGGCUGGAUGAAGAGGAGCCCGUGGAUGAACAGUCACAGGUGGAGGCUGGAGGAGGUCGACGGUGGAUGAACAGUAGCUCGUGGAGGCUAGAGGGGGUCGACGGUGGAGAUGAACAGUAUCCUGUGGAGUCCCGUUUUGCGGUACGCCACACCCCUCCCGAUGAACAGGACCCCCGUUUCGACCUAGCGCUCCAACACAAGUCCGUCUCGUCCGUUUUGCGGUACGCCACACCCCUCCCGAUCAACAGGACCCCCGUUUCGACCGUAGGAGGUCCGUUUCCUCCGUUUUGCGGUACGCCAGACCCCUCCCGAUCAACAGGACCCGUUCCGAAUGUAGGAGGUCCGUUUCCUCCGUUGUGCGGUACGCCAGGCCUCGUUUCCAUCGCCUAUUUCGUCCAAGCCCUCCCGAUGAACACGACCACACAUUCCGUUCCGACCCAGCCGGUUGGCUCGCACGCGUUCCGUUGCCUCCCGAUGAACACGACGCAUUCCGUUGCCUCCCGAUGAACACGACGCAUUCCAUUGCCUCCCCAUGAACACGACGCAUUCCGUUGCCUCCCCAUGAACACGACGACGAUGCUGUUUCUCCGUUCCGACCCAGCCAUGUACACGAGCCCUCGCCAUACGUAUGCGUGAGUAGGCGUUCGAGACCCCGCCCGUAUGUACACACACAUGGCCGUAUUUUCUUUCUUGCACCCUGGCCGUUGUACGUACGCGUACGUGCUACGUGCGCGCCUCUACUACGACACGUGCACGCCUCUACAUCGACCAAUAUGUACGUACACGUUCGCGACCAGAAUGACAACGCUACGUACAGUUCGACCAGGUGGGUCCCGACUGUCACGCACUUCCUUGCUUGCGAAGAUGUAGUUGGUGGGUCCCAGCAGUCAGGGGGCGAAUCGUUUUUUUGCCCGGACGCACUUCCUUGCGUGUGAAGAUAUAGCUGCUGGGUCCCAGCAGUCAGGGGGAAACAUUUUUUUCGCGAAAUACAAUGGCCCAUCCGGUGGGUCCCAGCUGUCAGGUGGAGGAAUCAUUAUUUUCUGCAUAAUAAGGAGGCACUUCCUUGCUGCGGUCGUGGACCCAGCUGUCAGCCUCUCCACGUACAGUCCACGUCCGAUGGAAGUCGUUCCUUGACCACGUUGACCACGCCGCGCCGAGAGCACCAGGGCGGUGGACGACGGCGAGGCCUAGGAAGGGGACGACACGGAGGCAGGGAAGACUCGGCAGUUGUUUCCCACGCAGAGAGGAGUAUGACUGUACGAGGGUUUACUGGUUCGUCUGCAGUCGGCGGAGAAUAACAGCAGGUGUGGGUGACUAGAGGGAUGGCUAGGCUAGCGAUGGGAGUACGGUCGGGCGGUGAGGCCUGCGCGGCAGCACAGCCGGCCGCGAGGAGGAGGGAGCAGGCAGUCCCGCCGGCGCUUGUUUGAGUGGCUAGAGCAGGAAGAGCGGAGAUUGAAGAAGCACGACGGCCGUUGGAUGGACAUCCAACAGUCAGUGCUUGUGCGUCAACCUUUUUUUAGGAAAGCAUCAAAUCUGUGGAAAACAGCAUACAACCCAUCUACCAUUAUUUGUAAUAAUUUACAACGCAUUUGCUAAUUCUUAAGGUUUUUUUGGAGCCCAUAUUCUUUUUGUUAGCAUUACAACCCAUAUUGUGGCAACGGUUAAAAAAUUAUACGAAAUUUUGCAUAUUUCGGUGUGGUCUGAACGGUUUUUAAUCCCAAAAUUUCGACUCACAUUCAAUCUGAUUUUAAAAAUAAAUGUAUAUCAAUAUAAAAUCCAACAAAUUCUCCACGCAUAAAAAUUAAUGUAAUUUAAAAUCUUGAAAUGAAAAAAGAUAUUUGAAACUAAUUGCCGGUUUGAUGUGUUUUAAAAAUGUACAACCCAUUUCUCAUUACUGAUGGGCCAUUUUCUCGGCCAGCCGAAUGAAAGCUCUAAUCGUCUUGAAAGAUUUGCAGCCCAACAGGCCUGACAAAGCGACUUGGCAAAUCACAAAAAAACUGGGCUGUGGCUGUGGACCCAGCUGUCAGCCUCUCCACGUACAGUACUCUUCCGAUGGAAGUCGUUCAUUGACCACGUUGACCACGCCGCACGGAGAGCACCACGGCGGUGGACAACGGCGAGGCCUAGGAAGGGGACGACGCGGCAGUGGAAGCCCGCGCGGAGAGGACUACGAGGGUUCACUGGUUUGGCUGCGGUGUGAGGUUGCCGUCACCGCAGGGCCUGGCCAGCGGUGGGAAUAGUAGGGGGCGGUGAGGCCUCUAUGGCAGCACAGCCGGCCACGGGAGGCAGGAGCAUGCGGCACGACCGGCGCUGCUUUGGGAGGCUGGAGCAAGAAGACCAGAGGUUGAAGAAGCACUACGGCCGUUGGAUGGACAUCGUACGGUCACUGGAGCUAGAUUCGUUCAUAUUGACUAAGUUGACAAAGCCCUUCAUCCCCGUCAACUUAGUAGGCCCACAAGUCAGCCUCCCAGCAAGGUGGGUCCCAGCUAGCCAGGGGAGUAUUCAUUUUUUUGUGCAUAAUAAGGAGGCACUUCCGGUGGGUCCGAGUUGACAGCGGGGGGGGGGGACGUUUUUUUCGCGAAAUACGGUGGCCCGUCCGGUGGGUCCCAGCAGUCAGGGGGAAAGGAUUUUUUUCGCAAAAUACUGGUGGCCCGUCCGGCGGGUCCCCGCUGUUAAGUGGAGGAAUAAUUAUUUUGCACAUAAUAAGGAGGCACUUCCUUGCUGCGGCCGUGGACCCAGCUGUCAGCCUCUCCACGUACAGUCCACGUCCGAUGGAAGCCGUUCCUUGACCACGUUGACCACGCCGCGCCAAGAGCACCAGGGCGGUGGACGACAUCGAGGCCAGGAAGGGGACGACGCGGAGCCGGGGAAGACGCGGCAGUGGGUGCCCACGCGUAGAGGAUUACAAGGGUUCACUAGUUCGCUGCGGUGUGAGGCUGCCGUCGCUGCAGAAUAACAGCGGGUGUGGGUGAGUAGAGGGAUGGCCUGGCCAGCGGUGGGAAUAGUAGGGGCGGUGAGGCCUCCGCCGCAUCGCAGCCGGCCACGGGAGGCAGGAGCACGAGGCACGACCGCCGCUGGUUUGGGCGGCUGGAGCAAGAAGACCAGAGGUUGAAGAAGCACUACGGCCGUUGGAUGGAUAUCGUACGGUCAAUGGAGCUAGAAUCAUGCAUAUUGACUAAGUUGACAAAGCCCCCCAUCCCCGUCAACUUAGUAGGCCCACAAGUCAGCCUGCCACUAAGGUGGAUCCCAGCUAGCAGGGGGUAUUCAUUUUUUUAUGCAUAAUAAGGAGGCACUUCCGGUGGGUCCGAGCUGACAGCAGGGGGAACGUUUUUUCGCGAAAUACGGUGGGCCGUCGGGUGGGUCCCAGCAGUCAGGGGCAAACAUUUUUUUUUGCGAUAUACUGGUGGGCGUUCGGUGGGUCCCUGCUGUGAGGUGGAGGAAUAAUUAUUUUCCGCGUAAUAAGGAGGCACUUCCUUGCGGCUACCAUGGACCCAGCUGUCACCCUCUCCACGUACAGUAUUCUUCCGAUGGAAUUCGGUCAUUGACCACAUUGACCACGCCACGCCGACAGCACCACGGCGGUGGAUGAUACGUCUCCAACGUAUCUAUAAUUUUUGAUUGCUCCAUGCUAUAUUAUCUACUGUUUUGGACUAUAUUGGGCUUUAUUUUACACUUUUAAAUUAUAUUUGGGACUAACCUAUUAACCGGAGGCCCGGCCCAGAAUUGCUGUUUUUUGCCUAUUUCACUGUUUCGAAGAAACGGAAUAUCAAACGGAGUCCAAAUGGAAUGAAACCUUCGGGAACGUGAUUUUCUCACCGAACGUGAUCUAGGAGACUUGGACCCUAUGCCAAGGCAUCAGAGAGGCGGUCACGAGGGUGGCCCCCCCUAGGGCGCGCCCCCCUGCCUCGUGGGCCCCUCGGAGCUCCACUGACGUACUUCUUCCUCCUAUAUAUACCUACGUACCCCCAAACGAUCAGAACAUGAGCCAAAAACCUAAUUCCACCGCCGCAACUUUCUAUAUCCACAAGAUCCCAUCUUGGGGCCUGUUCCGGAGCUCCACCGGGGAGGGCCGUCAUCACGGAGGGCUUCUACAUCAUCAUAGCCCCUCCGAUGAAGUGUGAGUAGUUUACCUGAGACCUUCGGGUCCAUAGUUAGUAGCUAGAUGGCUUCUUCUCUCUUUUUGGAUCUCAAUACAAAGUUCUCUCCCUCUCUUUUGGUGAUCUAUUCGAUGUAAUCUUCUUUUCGCGGUGUGUUUGUUGAGACCGAUGAAUUGUGGGUUUAUGAUCAAGUCUAUCUAUGAAUAAUAUUUGAAUCUUCUCCGAAUUCUUUUAUGUAUGAUUGGUUAUCUUUGCAAGUCUCUUCAAAUUAUCCGUUUGGUUUGGCCAACUAGAUUGGUAGUUCUUGCCAUGGGAGAAGUGCUUAGCUUUGGGUUCGAUCUUGCGGUGUCCUUUCCCAGUGACAGAAGGGGCAGCAAGGCAUGUAUUGUAUCAUUGCCAUCGAGGAUAAAAAGAUGGGGUUUAUUUCAUAUUGCAUGAAUUUAUCUCUCUACAUCAUAUCAUCUUGCUUAAGGCGUUACUCUGUUUUUAACUUAAUACUCUAGAUGCAUGCUGGAUAUCGGUCGAUGAGUGGAGUAAUAGUAGUAGAUGCAGAAUCGUUUCGGUCUACUUGUCACACACGUGAUGCCUAUAUACAUGAUCAUGCCUAGAUAUUCUCAUAACUAUGCUCAAUUCUGUCAAUUGCUCAAUAGUAAUUUGUUCACCCACCGUAGAAUACUUAUGCUCUUGAGAGAAGCCACUAGUGAAACCUAUGGCCCCCAGGUCUAUUCUCAUCAUAUUAAUCUCCAUCACUUUAAUCUUGCUUUGCUUUUUUACUUUCCUUUUACUUUUUACUUUGCAUCUUUAUACCAAAAAUACCAAAAAUAUUAUAUCUAUCAGAUCUCACUCUCGUAAGUGACCGUGAAGGGAUUGACAACCCCUAAUCACGUUGGUUGUGAGUAGCUAUCGUUUUGUGCAGGUACGAGAGACUUGAGCGUGGCCUCCUACUGGAUUGAUACCUUGGUUCUCAAAAACUGAGGGAAAUACUUACGCUACUCUGCUGCAUCAUCCCUUCCUCUUCGGGGAAAACCUACGCAAGCUCAAGACAUAGCAAGAAGGAUUUCUGGCGCCGUUGCCGGGGAAGUCUACGCAAAAAGUCAACAUACCAAGUACCCAUCACAAUCCCUAUCUCUCGCAUUACAUUAUUUGCCAUUUGCCUCUCAUUUUCCUCUCCCCCACUUCACCCUUGCCGUUUUAUUCGCCCCCUCUCUCUCUCUAUCCUCCCUCUCUAUUUGCCUCUUUUGCCCGCUUGCCUUUUUGUUUGCUCGUGUGUUAGAUUGCUUGUUUGUCGCGAUGGCUCAAGAUACUACCAAAUUGUGUGACUUGACCAAUACCAAUAAUAAUGAUUUCCUUAGCACUCCGAUUGCUCCUCUUGCCGAUACUGAAUCUUGUGAAAUCAAUACUGCUUUGUUGAAUCUUGUUAUGAAAGAUCAAUUCACCGGCCUUCCUAGUGAAGAUGCCCCUACUCAUCUGAAUAGCUUCGUUGAUUUAUGUGAUAUGCAAAAGAAAAAAGAUGUCGAUAAUGAUGUCGUUAAAUUGAAGCUAUUUCCUUUUUUGCUUAGAGAUCGUGCUAAAGCUUGGUUUUCGUCUUUGCCUAAGAAUAGUAUUGAUUCUUGGAACAAGUGCAAAGAUGCUUUUAUCUCUAAGUAUUUCCCUCCUGCUAAGAUCAUCUCUCUUAGGAACGAUAUUAUGAAUUUUAAGCAACUUGAUCAUGAACAUGUUGCACAAACUUGGGAGAGAAUGAAAUUAAUGAUACAUAAUUGCCCUACUCAUGGUUUGAAUUUGUGGAUAAUUAUACAAAAUUUUUAUGCUGGAUUGAAUUUUGCGUCUAGAAAUCUUUUAGAUUCGGCCGCGGGAGGCACUUUUAUGGAAAUCACUUUAGGAGAUGCUACUAAACUCCUAGAUAAUAUUAUGGUUAAUUAUUCUCAAUGGCAUACUAAAAGAUCUUCUAAUAAAAAAAGUGCAUGCGAUAGAAGAAAUCAAUGUUUUGAGUGGAAAGAUGGAUGAACUUAUGAAAUUAUUUGCUACUAAGAGUGUUUCUUCUGAUCCUAAUGAUACGCCUUUGUCUACUUUGAUUGAGAAUAACAAUUAAUCUAUGGAUGUGAAUUUUGUUGGUAGGAAUAAUUUUGGUAACAAUGCCUAUAGAGGGAAUUUUAAUCCUAGGCCAUAUCCUAGUAAUCCUUCUAAUAAUUAUGGGAAUUCCUACAACAACUCUUAUGGAAAUUAUAAUAAGAUGCCCUCUAAAUUUGAGAAUAGUGUUAAAGAGUUUAUGACUUCACAAAAGAAUUUUAAUGCUUUGCUUGAAGAGAAAUUGCUUAAAGUUGAUGAUUUGGCUAGGAACGUUUGUAGAAUUUCUCUUGAGGUUGAUUCUUUAAAGCUUAGAUCUAUUCCUCCUAAGCAUGAUAUCAAUGAGUCUCUCAAAUCCAUGAGAAUUUCCAUUGAUGAGUGCAAGGAAAGAACCGCUAGGAAGCGUGCUUCCAAAGAUGCCUUUAUUAAAGCGUGUUCUUCCAAUUCUUAUGAAAAUCAAGAUGAAGAUCUAAAAGUUAUUGAUGUGUCCCCUAUUAAAUCUUUAUUUGGCAAUAUGAAUCUUGAUGAAACUAAAUAUGAUCUUCCUUUACCUAGAAGGCGUUCUAAAAAUUCGGAGUAUUUAGAUCUUUAUGAUGAAAUUGAUGAAAGUGGGAUUGAAAGAAAUAAAAAUCUAGAUGUUGGUAAACCCACUAUAUUGGAUUUGAAGGAAUUUAAUUAUGAAAGUUGCUCUUUAAUUUAUUGUAUUUCCUUGUUGCAAUCCGUGCUAAAUUCUCCACAUGCUUAUUGUCAAAAUAAAGCCUUCACCGAACAUAUUGUUGAUGCCUUGAUGCAAUCUUAUGAAGAAAAACUUGAGUUGAAAUUUUCUAUCCCUAGAAAAUUCUAUGAUGAGUGGGAACCAACUAUUAAAAUUAAAAUUAAAGAUCAUGAGUUUUAUGCUUUGUGUGAUUUUGGUGCUAGUGUUUCCACGAUUCUAAAGACUUUGUGUUAUUUGCUAGAUUUUCGUAAUUUUGAUGAUUGCUCUCUAAACUUGCAUCUUGCAGAUUCUACUAUUAAGAAACCUAUGGGAAGGAUUAAUGAUGUUCUUAUUGUUGCAAAUAGGAAUUAUGUACCCGUAGAUUUCAUUGUUCUUAAUAUAGAUUGCAAUCCUUCUUGCCCUAUUAUUCUUGGUAGACCCUUCCUUAGAACGGUUGGUGCGAUUAUUGAUAUGAAGGAAGGGAAUAUUAGAUUUAAAUUUCCAUUAAAAAAGGGCAUGGAACACUUUCCAAGAAAGAAAAUAAAAUUGCCAUAUGAAACUAUCAUGAGGGCCACUUAUGGAUUGCCUACCAAAGACGGCAAUACCUAGAUCUAUCCUCGCUUUUAUGCCUAGCUAGGGGCGUUAAACGAUAGCGCUUGUUGGGAGGCAACCCAAUUUUAUUUUUAUUCCUUGCUUUUUGCUCCUGUUUAGUAAUAAAUAAAUCAUCUAGCCUCUGUUUUGGUUGUGUUUUUUGUGUUUAAUUAGUUUUUGUCCAAGUAGAACCGUUGGGAAGACUUGGGGAAAGUCUUGUUGAACUUGCUGUAAAAAACAGAAACUUUAGCGCUCACGAGAACUGCUGUCAUUUUUAUUUCAAGAGUGAUAUUUAGUUAAUUAUUUUUUCAGAUGAUUAAUAGAUGAAUUAAUCAAGUCCAUAAAUUUAUUUUAGAAUUUUUGGUGUUCCAGAUCUUGCGCUAGCUACAGAUUACUACAGACUGUUCUGUUUUUGACAGAUUCUAUUUUUCGUGUGUUGUUUGCUUAUUUUGAUGAAUCUAUGGUUAGUAAAAUAGUUUAUAAUCCAUAGAGAAGUUGGAAUACAGUAGGUUUAACACCAAUAUAAAUAAAUAAUGAUUUCAUUACAGUACCUUGAAGUGGUCUUUUGUUUUCUUUCGCUAACGGAGCUCACGAGUUUUCUACUUUAAGUUUUGUGUUGUGAAGUUUUCAAGUUUUGGGUGAAUUCUUUGAUGGAUUAUGGAACAAGGAGUGGCAAGAGACUAAGCUUGGGGAUGUCCAUGGCACCCCCAAGAUAAUCCAAGGACACCAAAAAUUCAAAGCUUGGGGAUGCCCCGGAAGGCAUCCCCUCUUUUGUCCACUUCCAUCGGUAAUUUACUUGGAGCUAUAUUUUUAUUCACCAACAUGAUAUGUGUUUUGCUUGGAGCGUCUUGUAUUAUUUGUGUCUUUGUGUUUUAGUAUGCCACAAUCAUCCUUGCUGUACACACCUUUUGAGAGAGCCAUACAUAAAUUAAAAUUUGAUAGAAUACUCUAUGUGCUUCAGUUAUAUCUUUUGAGCUAAGUAGUUUUGCUCUAUGUGCUUCACUUAUAUCUUUUGAGCGUUAUAAUUUUGCUCUAUGUGCUUCACUUAGGUCUUUUAGAGCAUGGUGGUGGAUUUGUUUUAAAGAAACUAUUGAUCUCUCAUGCUUCACUUAGAUUAUUUUGAGAGUCUUAAUAGCAUGGUAAUUUGCUUAAUAAUAACAUGCUUGGUAUUCAAGAUUUGUGAAACUUUCUUUUGAGUGUGUUGAAUACUAAGAAAAUUUGGAUGCUUGAUUAUUGUUUUGAGAUAUGGAGGUAAUAAUAUCAAAGUCAUGCUAGUUGAGUAAUUGUGAAUUUGAGAAGUGCUUGUGUUGAAGUUUGCAAGUCCUGUAGCAUGCACGUAUGGUAAACGUUAUGUAACAAAUUUGAAACAUGAGGUGUUACUUGAUUGUCCUCCUUAUGAGUGGCGGUCGGGGACGAACGAUGGUCUUUUACUACCAAUCUACCCCCCUAGGAGAAUGCACGUAAUACUUUGGUUUUUGAUAGCUUGUAGAUUUUUGCAAUAAGUAUAUGAGUUCUUUAUGACUAAUGUUGAGUCCAUGGAUUAUACGCACUCUCACCCUUCCAUCAUUGCUAGCCUCUACGGUACCGUGCAUUGCCCUUUCUCACAUCGAGAGUUGGUGCAAACUUUGCCGGUGCAUUCAAACCCCGUGAUAUGAUACGCUCUUUCACACAUAAACCUCCUUAUAUCUUCCUCCAAACAGCCACCAUACCUACCUAUUAUGGUAUUUCCAUAGCCAUUCCGCGAUAUAUUGCCAUGCAACUUUCCACCAUCCAGUUUAUCAUGACACAUUCAUCGUUGUCAUAUUGCUUAGCAUGAUCAUGUAGUUGACAUAGUAUUUGUGACAAAGCCACCGUUCAUAAUUUUUUCAUACUUGUCACUCUUGAUUCAUUGCAUGUCCCAGUACACCGCCGGAGGCAUCCAUAUAGAGUCAUACUUUGUUCUAGUAUCAAGUUGUAAUCAUUGAGCUGUAAAUAAAUAGAAGUGUGAUGAUCAUCAUUCAAUAGAGCAUUGUCCCCAAAAAAGAGAAAGGCCAAAGAAAAAAGAAGCCCCCCCAAAAAACAGAAAAUAAAUAAAAAGGGGCAAUGCUACUAUUCCUUUUUCCCACACUUGUGCUUCAAAGUAGCACCAUGUUCUUCAUAUAGAGAGUCUCUUGAGUUAUCACUUUCAUACACUAGUGGGAAUUUUCAUUAUAGAACUUGGCUUGUAUAUUCCAACAAUGGGCCUCCUCAAGUGCCCUAGGUCUUCGUGAGCAAGCAAGUUGGAUGCACACCCACUUAGUUUCUUUUGUUGAGCUUUCAUACAUUUAUAGCUCUAGUGCAUCCGUUGCAUGGCAAUCCCUACUCCUUGCAUUAACAUCAAUCGAUGGGCAUCUCCAUAGCCCAUUGAUUAGCCUCGUUGAUGUGAGACUUUCUCCUUUUUUGUCUUCUCCACAUAACCCCCAUCAUUCUAUUCCACCCAUAGUGCUAUAUCCAUGGCUCACACUCAUGUAUUGCGUGAAAGUUUAUGAGUUUGAAAUUAUUAAGGUAUGAAACAAUUGCUUGGCUUGUCAUCGGGGUUGUGCAUGAUGAGAGCAUUCUUGUGUGACGAAAAUGGAGCAUGACUAAACUAUAUGAUUUUGUAGGGAUAAACUUUCUUUGGCCAUGUUACUUUGAGAAAACAUAAUUGCUUUGUUGGUUUGCUUGAAGUAUUAUUAUUCUUUAUGUCAAUAUGAACUUUUGUCUCGAAUCUUCCUAAUCUGAAUAUUCAUACCACAAUUAAGAAGAUUUGCAUUGAAAUUAUGCCAAGUAGCACUCCGCAUCAAAAAUUCUCUUUUUAUCAUUUACCUACUCAAGGACGAGCAGUAAUUAAGCUUGGGGAUGCCUGAUACGUCUCCAACGUAUCUAUAAUUUUUGAUUGCUCCAUGCUAUAUUAUCUACUGUUUUGGACUAUAUUGGGCUUUAUUUUCCACUUUUAUAUUAUUUCUGGGACUAACCUAUUAACCGGAGGCCCAGCCCAGAAUUGCUGUUUUUUUUGCCUAUUUCAGUGUUUCGAAGAAACAGAAUAUCAAACGGAGUCCAAACGGAAUGAAACCUUCGGGAACGUGAUUUUCUCACCGAACGUGAUCCAGGAGACUUGGACCCUACGCCAAGGCAUCAGAGAGGCGGUCACGAGGGUGGGGGGCGCGCCCCGCGCCCCCUGCCUCAUGGACCCCUCGGAGCUCCACCGACGUACUUCUUCCUCCUAUAUAUACCUACGUACCCCCAAACAAUUAGAACAGGAGCCAAAAACCUAAUUCCACCACCGCAACUUUCUGUAUCCACGCGAUCCCAUCUUGGGGCCUGUUCCGAAGCUCCGCCGGAGAGGGCCGUCAUCACGGAGGGCUUCUACAUCAUCAUAGCCCCUCCGAUGAAGUGUGAGUAGUUUACCUCAGACCUUCGGGUCCAUAGUUAGUAGCUAGAUGGCUUCUUCUCUCUUUUUGGAUCUCAAUACAAAGUUCUCUCCCUCUCUUGUGGAGAUCUAUUCGAUGUAAUCUUCUUUUUGCGGUGUGUUUGUUGAGACCGAUGAAUUGUGGGUUUAUGAUCAAGUCUAUCUAUGAAUAAUAUUUGAAUCUUUUCUAAAUUCUUUUAUGUAUGAUUGAUUAUCUUUGCAAGUCUCUUCGAAUUAUCCGUUUGGUUUGGCCAACUAGAUUGGUAGUUCUUGCCAUGGGAGAAGUGCUUAGCUUUGGGUUCGAUCUUACGGUGUCCUUUCUCAGUGACAGAAGGGGCAGCAAGGCAUGUAUUGUAUCAUUGCCAUCGAGGAUAACAAGAUGGGGUUUAUUUCAUAUUGCAUGAAUUUAUCUCUCUACAUCAUGUCAUAUUGCUUAAGGCGUUACUCUGUUUUUAACUUAAUACUCUAGAUGCAUGCUGGAUAGCGAUCGAUGAGUGGAGUAAUAGUAGUAGAUGCAGAAUUGUUUCGGUCUACUUGUCACGGACGUGAUGCCUAUAUACAUGAUCAUGCCUAGAUAUUCUCAUAACUAUGCUCAAUUCUGUCAAUUGCUCAACAUUAAUUUGUUCACCCACCGUAGAAUACUUAUGCUCUUGAGAGAAGCCACUAGUGAAACCUAUGGCCCUCGGGUCUAUUCUCAUCAUAUUAAUCUCCAUCACUUUAAUCUUGCUUUGCUUUUUUACUUUUUACUUUGCAUCUUUAUACCAAAAAUACCAAAAAUAUUAUAUCUGUCAGAUCUCACUCUCGUAAGUGACCGUGAAGGGAUUGACAACCCCUAAUCGCGUUGGUUGCGAGUAGCUAUCGUUUUGUGCAGGUACGAGAGACUUGAGCGUGGCUUCCUACUGGAUUGAUACCUUAGUUCUCAAAAACUGAGGGAAAUACUUACGCUACUCUGCUGCAUCAUCCCUUCCUCUUCGGGGAAAACCAACGCAAGCUCAAAACGUAGCAGUGUACAACGACGAGGCCUAGGAAGGGGACGACGCGGUGUCGGGGAAGACACGGCAGUGGAUGCCCAUGCAGAGAGGAGUACGAGGGUUCACUGGUUCGGCUGCGCUGCCAUCGCCGCAGAAUAACAGGGGGUGUGGGUGAGUGGAGUGGAGGGAUGGCCUGGCAGCGGUGGGAGUAGUAUGGAGGUGGCGAGGCCUCCGCGGUAGCACAGCCGGCCACGAGAGGCAGGAGCAGGCGGCACGACCAGCGCUGCUUUGGGCGGCUGGAGCAAGAAGACCAGAGGUUGAAGAAGCACUACGACCGUUGGAUGGACAUCAUACGGUCAGUCGAGCUAGAAUUGUGCAUAUUGACUAAGUUGACAAAGCCCUUCGUCCCCGUCAACUUAGUAGGCCCACUAUACUGGGUCCCAGCUAGCAGGGGGAGUAUUCAUUUUUUUGUGCGUAAUAAGGAGGCACUUCCUUGCAUGCGAAGAUAUAGUUGGUGGGUCCGAGCUGUCAGCGGCGGUAACAUUUUUUUCGCGAAAUACAGAGGCCAUUUCGGUGGGUCCCAGAUGUCAGGUGGAGGAAAUCAUUAUUUUGCGCGUAAUAAGGAGGCAUUUCCUUGCGUGCAGCCAUGGACCCAGCUGUCAGCCUCUCCAUGUACAGUCCACUGCAGAUGCAUGUCGGUCGUUGACCAUGCUGACCACGCCACGCCGAGAGCACCAGGGCGGUGGACGACGGUGAGGCCUAGGAAGGGAACGACACGGAGGUAGGGAAGACUCGGCCGUUGUUUUUGUUUCCCACGCGGAGGGGAGUACGACUGUACGAGGGUUUACUGGUUCGUCUGCCAUCGCCGGAGAAUAACAACAGGUGUGGGUGAGUAGAGGGAUGGCUAGGCCAGUGAUGGGAGUAUGGUGGGGCGGUGAGGCCUGCGCGGCAGCACAGCCGGCCGCGGGGAGGAGGGAGCAGGCAGUCCCGCCGGCGCUUGUUUGAGCGGCUGGAGCAGGAAGAGCAGAGAUUGAAGAAGCACGACGGCCGUUGGAUGGACAUCCAACAGUAUACAGGCCAUCUAUGGAAAGCCUCAAAUAUGUGGAAAACAGCAUACAUCCCAUCUGCCAUUAUUUCAAAUAAUUUACAACACAUUUGCUAAUUCUUACGGGUUUUUUUGGAGCUCAUAUUCUUUAUGUUAGCAUUACAGCCCAUAUUGUGGCCACGGUUAAAAAAUUAUACGAAAUUUUGCAUAUGUCGGUGCAGUCUGAACUGUUUUUAAUCCCGAAAUUUCGAGUCACAUUCAGAGUCAUUUUAAAAAUAAAUGUAUAUCAAUAUAAAAUCCAAUAAAUUGUCCACGCAUAAAAAUCAAUGCAAUUUAAAAUCUUGAAAUGAAAAAAAGAUAUUUGAAAAUAAUUGCCGGUUUGAUGUGUUUUAAAAAUGUACAGCCCAUUUCUCAUUACUGAUAGGACAUUUUCUCAGCCAGCCGAAUGAAGCUCUCCUCGUCUUGAAAGAUUUGCAGCCCAGCAAGCCUGAUAAAGCGACUUACUUGACAAAUCACAAAAGAACUGGGCUAGCCAUUUUCAGAAACAAAAAAACUACUAGGCUGGUCCGUGGUAAACAUAAAAGAAAAGGCUGUCUAGACAGGCCAGAGUGUCCCUUACAUCCCAGUAUUUCCGCAUGGACGUGUAGGCCGGGGCGCCUCUUCGUGAACCGUGGCAAACUUGCAACCGUCCACCGACUCUUCGCCUUUCCCUCUCGAUUUGGAACUGUUGUCGCACGCGCUUCCUCUCCCUCCUCCAUUUUCCUUCAACCCUUCACCCUUUCUUCUGCCAUUGUUCGAUCGUCUUCUCCAUGGAGGGAACAGGCCAGAAACGACCCCAUUAUUCUUGCCCCAAUAUGAAAGAUGACGUGGUGGAGGAACUCAUUGAUCGGUGUGACGUCAUCACCUCGGCUAGCAUGGCAGGUUCAUUCAAGCCCAUUCUCGACUCAACUAAUAACAUCAUUACAAAGAACCCAAGAGUCAAGGAGCGGUUUGAUCUGUCCUAUCUUCUUUGCCGUGACCCUGAUGACUGGCGCCAGCACGACGGAGGCCUCGCCCUGUGCCAGUUGAUGCCGCUUGAUAAUAAUACGUAUGAUGUUAAGAUGCCAUCGCUCGAGGGCAAGGCUUGGGCGGGCGCAAAUGGAUAUUGGGUUGUUUACAUUGGGUCCAACUGCGAGUGGGAACUUGUGAAUGUGUACACUCGUCACCGGGUUCCACUUCCAAAAAUCUUAGCACACUGCCCAGAGGUUGAGCACACUGGUAAUGUACGCACGUUCAAAUACGAUCAUGGUGACUGUCUUCUAUGGAAGAUAGCAAUUUGUCGAGUUCCCAACCGCUCUUGGAAUUACAACAACGAUCAAGUUGUUGCUAUCUUCGACAAGCUUGUUGCCGUCCUUCGUGGUUCGACUCGAUGGAUAUUGCUCAAAAAUCAGUUUCUGUACACGGAUGAGUACUGUGAUGCAAUUCAAUACGAGGGCCUUGUGUUUGCUGCCACCACUCGUGGCACUGUUUUUGCAUGGCAUCCUAGUAGUUUCGGUACGUUUGUCUUCCACGGUAAUUAUAAUUGUUUCAUCCACAUGCAUGCGGGUUAGCAAGUUUCCCUUUACUAAUUAACCUUCUUCUUGUGUUUCCAAGGUCCUGUGAACAUCCCACCACCUAUACUUGAAAAUUUUUAUAACCAAGGUGGAGAUGACGAUGGUGAUGAUCACGAGCAUGAGAACGAGCAGCGCCGAUAUACUCUGUGGCGCCUGGCAACUAAUUCCGAUGGAUCACCUCUUCUUGUGUGUAUACAACCCACUGAUGAUGUUACUCGUAAGGAAGCAGGUGUCUCCCAUGGUUGCACUCUCCUGACCUAUUCCAACACCCGUUGCAUGGUAUUCGGGAUGGAUACUAGUGUGCUAGCGCGAACUCCUUCUCCCUGGCACAGAAUUGAUAGUCUUGGAGAAAACUCGCUCUUCCUUGGACAAAACUAUCCGAUGAUGGUGAAAGGCGAUCCAACUGCUGCUGACACAUUUAUGAGAAGCAACUGUGUCUAUACCUUGGACAUUUGGGUGGUUCCCUACCCUCGUACGGAUAUAGUAGGCCGCUUCAGCCUGGAUGAUCGGUCCUGCGUUGGUCUCCAGCUCGACAACACAUGGCACGUCCCAGAGAAUCAGUUGUGGUUCAAAGCAAGCGUUUCCAACGCUGCAGAAUGGUUGAGUUGAAGUUCAUUUCAUGGCUUGUUAUUUGUUGUGUGGAGAAAACUUUAGUAUUUAUAAUGUAUCCUCGUUGUCGAUGUGGGUUGAUGACCUGUUGUAUGUAAUAAAAUGAUAUGCAUGUGAUAAACUUACUAAAUUGAUGAAUGGCUUUCGAGUCGCUUCUCUAAAUUUGUACUAGCUUCACAUGCUUCGCGUGUCAGACGGUGAUACGUCUCCGUUGUAUCUACUUUUCCAAACACUUUUGCCCUUGUUUUGGACUCUAACUUGUAUGAUUUGAAUGGAACUAACCCGGACUGACACUGUUUUCAGCAGAAUUGCCAUGGGGUUGUUUUAUGUGCAGAAAAUAAAUAUUCUCGGAAUGACCUGAAACUCCACGGAACAUCUUAGAAAAAAUAAUAAAAAAUCCUCGCCAAAGAUGAAGACCAGGGGGCCACACCCUGUUCACGAGGGUGGGGGGCGCCCCCCUAGGGCAUGCCCCCUACCUUGUGGGCCCCCUGGAUGCCCUCCGACGCCAACUCCAACUCUAUAUAUUUGCUUUCGAAGAGAAAAAAAUCAGAGAGAAGAAAUCAUCGCGUUUUACGAUAUGGAGCCGCCGCCAAGCCCUAAAACCUCUCGAGAGGGCUAAUCUAGAGUCCGUUCGGGGCUCUGGAGAGGGGGAUUCGUCGCCGUCGUCAUCAUCAACCAUCCUCCAUCACCAAUUUCAUGAUGCUCACCGCAGUGCGUGAGUAAUUCCAUCGUAGGCUUGCUAGACGGUGAUGGGUUGGAUGGGAUUUAUCAUGUAAUCGAGUUAGUUUUGUUAGUGUUUGAUCCCUAGUAUCCACUAUGUUCUGAGAUUGAUGUUGCUAUGACUUUGCUAUGCUUAAUGCUUGUCACUAGGGCCCGAGUGCCACGAUUUCAGAUCUGAACCUAUUAUGUUUUCAUGAAUAUAUGUGAGUUCUUGAUCCUAUCUUGCAAGUCUAUAGUCACCUACUAUGUGUUAUGAUCCGGCAACCCCGAAGUGACAAUAAUCAGGACCACUCCCGGUGAUGACCAUAGUUUGAGGAGUUCAUGUAUUCACUAUGUGCUAAUGCUUUGUUCCGGUUCUCUAUUAAAAGGAGGCCUUAAUAUCCCUUAGUUUCCAAUAGGACCCCGCUGCCACGGGAGGGUAGGAAAAAAGAUGUCAUGCAAGUUCUUUUCCAUAAGCACGUAUGACUAUAUACAGAAUACAUGCCUACAUUACAUUGAUGAAUUGGAGCUAGUUCUGUGUCACCCUAUGUUAUGACUGUUACAUGAUGAACCGCAUCCGGCAUAAUUAUCCAUCACUGAUCCGGUGCCUACGAGUUUUCCAUAUACUGGUUCUCGCUUAUUUACUUUCCCGCUGCUACUGUUACAAUCACUACAAAAUACCAAAAACAUUACUUUUGCUGUCUUUACUUUUAUUUUCGCUACCACCACUAUCAUAUUACUUUGCUACUAAACACUUUGCUGUAGAUACUAAGUUUCCAGGUGUGGCUGAAUUGACAACUCAGCUGCUAAUACUUGAGAAUAUUGUUUGGCUCCCCUUGUGUCGAAUAAAUAAAUUUGGGUUGAAUACUCUACCCUCGAAAGUUGUUGCGAUCCCCUAUACUUGUGCGUUAUCAAGACUAAUUUCUGGCGCCGUUGCCGAGGAGCAUAGCUCUAUUCUUUGAGUCACUUGGGAUUUAUAUCUGCUGGACAUUAUGAAGAACUUGAGAGAUCCAAAAACCAAGAUCUAUCCCUCAACUACGAGGGGAGGUAAGGAACUGCCAUCUAGCUCUGCACUUGACUCACCUUCUGUUAUGAGUAAGUUUGCGACACCUACACCUGCUUCUGCUAUUCGUUCUGAUAUGUCGCACGUUAUUGAUGAUGCCACUUCUGCUAUGCAUGAUACUUAUGAUGAAACUGCUUCUAUGCCUGAUACUACUGUGCCCCUUGGUGAAUUUCUUGAUGAACAAAUUGCUAGGGCUAGAGAAAAAGAAAUUAUUGAAUCUAAAUACGAUGAUGAUAGUGAUCAUGAAAAUAUGCCUGCUAUUCCUGAGGGCUAUCUUUUUGAUAUGGAAUCUUCUAUCGCUAUUUUAGCUUGCAAAGAUAGAUACGAGCUUAAGAGGUUAGUAGUUAAAUGGAACAAAGAAUCACUUAGAGAUAAAAUGAAACCCAACCCUGCUUUUGCUACUUCACCUAUAUGUGUUCCUGAUAAGGAUUAUGAAUUCUCUGUUGAUCCUGAUAUAAUUACUUUGGUUGAAUCUGAUCCGUUUUAUGGCUAUGAAUCUGAAACUGUUGUGGCACAUCUUACUAAGUUAAAUGAUAUAGCUGCCCUGUUCAAUAAUGAUGAGAGAUCGCGUUACUUCUAUAUACUCAAAAUAUUUCCGUUCUCAUUAAAGGGUGAUGCUAAGAUAUGGUUUAAUUCUCUUGAUCCUGGUUGUGUGCAUAGUCCCCAGGAUAUGAUUUAUUACUUCUCUGCUAAAUAUUUCCCUGCUCAUAAGAAACAAGCUGCUUUGAGGGAAAUAUACAACUUCGUGCAAAUUAAAGAAGAGAGUCUCCCACAAGCUUGGGGGGGGCGGAUUCUCAAGUUACUUCAUGCUUUGCCUGAUCAUCCUCUUAAGAAACCUGAAAUACUUGAUAUAUUUUAUAAUGGACUAACCGAUCCUUCCAGAGAUUACCUGGAUAGUUGUGCUGGUUCUCUUUUCAGGGAAAGAACACCGGAUGAAGCUAAAAUCCUAUUGAAUAAUAUGUUGACAAAUGAAAAUAAUUGGGCACCUCCUGAGCCAGCUCCUGCUCCAAUUACUGAGCCUAUUCCUAAACCAACUCUGAAGAAGAGAUGUGUUAUGUUUCUCACUCCCGAAGAUAUGCAAGAGGCAAAGAAAUCUAUGAAAGAAAAAGGUAUUAGAGCUGAAGAUGUUAAGAAUUUACCUCCUAUUGAAGAAAUAUAUGGUCUUAAUAUACCGCCUGUUGAAGAAACAUAUGAUCUCAAUUCUUUAUUUACUGAAGAACCUCCUAAUCCCGAUAUCCCGACACAGGUAGUAAAGGUAAAUUCUCUCUAUAGAUAUGAUAAAGCUGAAGUCCCUCCUACUAAAAUUGCUAGUCAGUGCUUGGAUGAGUUUGAUAACUUUAUGUUUAAGCAAGAUGACUUCAAUGCUUAUUUUGGCAGACAAUUAAAGAAAAUGCUUAUAUGAUUAGACGCUUGGGUGAUUAUAUGGCUAAUAUUAAAGGUGAACUUAAACUUGUUAGCAAACAUGCUUCUAUGGUUACCACUCAAGUAGAACAAGUACUUAAGGCUCAAAAAGAAGUGCUUGAUGAAAUGAAUAGUAAGAAAAAUGAUUAUGCUGUUAGAAUGGCUACUAGAACUGGUAGAAUGACUCAGGAACCCUUGUAUCCCGAAGGCCACCCUAAGAGAAUCGAGCAAGAUUCUCAAAGAAAUAAUAUUGAUGUUCCUAGUUCUUCUAAAAAGAAGAAAAAGAAAAAUGAUAGAACUGUGCAAACUUCUAGUGAACCUAUUGCUGAACCACCUGAUAAUCCAAAUGAUAUUUCUAUGUCUGAUGUUGAAACACAAUCUGGUAAUGAACAUGAACCUAAUGAAAAUAUUAAUAAUGAUGUUCAUGAUGAUGCUCAACCUAGUAAUGAUAAUGAUGUAGAAAUUGAACCUGUUGUUGAUCUUGAUAACCCACAAUCAAAGAAUCAACGUUAUAAUAAAAGAGACUUUGUUGCUAGGAAACAUGGUAAAGAAAGGGAACCUUAGGUUCAGAAACCCAUGACUUUUCCUCCGAAACCAUCCAAGAAAAAGGAUGAUGAGGAUUUUGAGCGCUUUGCUGAAAUGAUUAGGCCUAUCUUUUUGCGUAUGCGAUUAAUUGAUGUGCUCAAAACAAAUCCUUAUGCUAAAUAUAUGAAGGAUAUAAUUGCUAAUAAAAGAAAGAUACCGGAAGCUGAAAUUUCCACUAUGCUUGCUAAUUAUACUUUUAAGGGUGGAAUACCAACAAACUUGGAGAUCCCGGAGU
Molecule: long non-coding RNA, 76292 nt
Filed under: Triticum aestivum (bread wheat)
Lineage: Eukaryota; Viridiplantae; Streptophyta; Magnoliopsida; Poales; Poaceae
Description: long non-coding RNA (TAES_LNC014264)
Rfam family: MIR1120/MIR1122 microRNA precursor family (bases 8455-8579)
Source: RNAcentral